UCAAGGAAAAAUAUCUUAUCCAACUUUGGAUAGACCUGUGGGAGAUAAAAUCUCAAGUGGUUCAGCAUGGAGAGGUACUUGGGGUUACGAUACUUUAGGUUUGAAGAACCCGCAGAGAGAGUGGUGGGGCGGUCAGCUUUGAAAUAAUACUCUUUCAUGGCUGCAGACUCAAGUUGCCGUAAAACAGGACAGUAUGAUGAGUUCAACCACUUAAAUUCAUCUACGUUCUCAACAUGGAUGGUGGCCUUCCCAGGAGGGUUCAGCAAAAACCACAUGUUCAUGGCUCCAAAGUUCAACUUAUCAGUCACAAGAUGGAAAACAUGCUUCUCAGGCUCCUGAAAAGAUUAUGCCAUAGAUAGCUGUUAGAACAAUUAUCACACUUUGCACUUGAUUAAAAAGGAAGACGAAACUACCUUAGCAUUCAUGAUGGUUGAGUUCACAACAGAUGCUGCCAAGACAUUGUCUGAGAAAAGUGCAUAAUGGUAGAGCUCUGGAUUUUCCAAGUUCUCGCUCCUCGGGAACUUCCUUUUCUCCAACGGGAGGAGAUAGUAAUCUAUUGUUAAGCGCAUCGACAAACAAUGAAUGCUGUUUGGAAUUGUCUUCGCAGCCAACUGGCUAAGAAAUGUACUCUGCUUCUUCAAGCUCCUGACUUGUUCAUCUGCUGACUGAAGCAUAGCUCUAAGUCUCUGAGUAACCGCCUUGCAAUCAUACACAUCUUCUCUAGCCUUGGAUAGAAGUUGACCCAUUACUCUGACUUUCUCAGGUGCACUGCAAAGUACAUUAUUUGUCAUGAUAGAGAACAAGAUGAGAUAUAAAAAUAUGACGUGAAAAUAGGCACAAACCUAUGAUGAAGGUCAGAAUCAGCAGUAGCCUCUCCAACAGCCCGCUGGCUUUCCUUGAUCCUGGUUUGCAGCUCUUGAUAAAGAUCAUUCUUGUUCUUUGAUUUAGCAAGCACAGAAUAAACACGUGCCAUAAUAAUCUGGUCUCUCAUCAAUCUAACUGUCAAAUCUGAGUUCUCAUUCUCAUUCUCCUUUCUCCAAAUGCUGUAUUUCCCAAGGACAGCAGAAUCUUUGAUCGAUCAAUAGCAGCAUUCUCCAGCUUAACACGUGCUUCAUCAUCUUUCCUUACAAAUCCAUUGCCCUCUUUUCACGCCUUUUCUCCCUUAGUUUCUUUAGUGACCAAACAGUAUCAAGGGAUGAAUGAUGUCAUAAUGCAUACGAUAGAAACAAAUAACAAUGCAUCAAUGUACAUACAAGAAGAUCAGCAUUCUUACCCUUCGAACAUUUUUUGCAGCCGUGUCGACUUGAUGUUCAUCUGCACAGACAAGAAGUUUAUUUUCUUGCAUACCUAAUCAGACGAUGUAAAAAUUUAAAAUGUGCUUUUUUUUAAAAAAAAGCAUGGUUAUUUUUGUACCAGUAUCAUCCUUGAGUGUUUUAUCUGUAGAGCUGUUUGCAGAUUUAACCUUGUCAUCAAUAUCCAAACUCGCAUUGCUCAGGUCAUUGACUAGAUCAUCAGUUUUCCAAGAGGGAGAUGCACGUUUUAUGAAAAAAUCAACACUCAAAGCACCUGCUUCUUGUUGACUAGAAGCUAAAGCAUCAAACAUCUGGAGACCAGAAGGCAUGUAUAAGACUAAAAGAACAGAAAAAUUGAGGAUACUUCUGAACAAGAAGACAGUUUCUUAUGCAAAUAACAGUAGAUGGUAAUUGAAAAAUCAAAAUGUCCGCAACAGAAUUACAGAGCAGAUAGGGGACACAGCAUGCAAAUCUACUUGGAACAACAGAGAGUAGCAUGGUAUUUAGAGAAAAGGCAAUCAGUUGCAAGGACAAAUCAGAGAGGAUGACGUUGCGAAAUUAGUAGCAUAGCAAAGAUGAGCACGUUGUUAUGUACCCUUGUACAUUUCCAUGAAACCAAAAAAGAAAGAUAAGAAAUUAUAUUACUAAGUCGCGAGACAAUUCUGACCUCCUUGGACAAAAUAGAUUUCAGGUUGUUCGUUGGCAGCUGUUUUUGCCAUUCUGUUUCCUGCAAGAAAGCUUUAAUGUGAGAUGGAUCCUCAAAAUUUAGGCUAAGCAAUUAACUAGCUCCCAGAAUGGAAAAAUACCUGAGUACCUUCCAUAUCCAUGGGAUCUGCAGGUAAACAAACUACAACAUCACUUAUCUAUUUCAAAUCAGUAUAACAGUAUUCAAAUACUACAAAACAUUGACAAUGUUCCUACAGUUCUAAUAAAUGUAGUUUUCUUGUUUAUAGGCUUUUGGCACUACAAUUACAUCCACAAUUCACUUGUGCACCCUAGAUUCUUAAUAGCUAGGGCUUUCCCCACAAUGUCACACAUCUAACCUAGCAAAGGCACAAGUGACACUACAAUAGAUAGGAAAAUGGUUUCCAAAAUCACUUGAAUCACAACUUCAACUGUCUGCUGUAAACUCAUGAUUCCUCCAAAGUGCGAUGGAUUAAUUUUUUGUUUCCAAAACAGAGCAUCAUGAUCCAAUUAUCUACGUUUUCUAUCCAAAAUCAUAACCAAGCCUACUAAUACAACUCAUCAAUUGAAUUUAACAAUAGUACCUAAACCACUGACAUCUACUCGGAUUCCAUUCCGAGUAAUAUCCCUCAGACCAACGCUGGGAAACUAACCAAACCUGAACACAUCACUCCCCAGUCCCCACCCCCACCUUAAAAAAAAAAAAACAAUCUAGAUGCUACAUUCGCGACGGAGGAUGCGAUUAACAACCGACAGCGCCGCGCAUCAGGAGGGGGGAGGGGGAUGCAAACCGGAACCUGAGCCGACGUGGCCCCCAUUGCACGCGACGAAGAAGAUCGACGGCGCGAGAACGAAGAGGAACACGACGACCACCAGCGGCGCCACCACGCCGCGCCUCCCUCCUCCGCCGCCGCCGGCCGUGGAGUACGGGAGCCGCUUCGAGUUCGCCAUCUCCAGCGAAGGGUAGGAUCCGCGGGGGUCCACCUCGCCGGAGAGUGCACGUACGUCGCGCGCGGCGCGCUUCCCUCUCCGCCUCCUCCGCCGAGAGUGGGGUGGGGGGAGUGGCGUGGUGAGGGGAAGCCUGGAAAGGAAGGGGAAAGCACCCGAAGAUGUGAGGCAACCGAUGGUGGGCUAUUUGGGCCUUUUUGAAAACCAUCUAGGCUUCUGCCUUGUCUACGGCCCCGUUUAGAUGGGCCAAAUUAAGGCCCACCUAUGUGUAUGGGCUAGUAUGAAACAAAGGUUAAAAAAAAAAGAGGUGGUCUAAAAGUGAAAAUAUUGGUUAAGGGUUCGUGGUGAAACUAGGGUAAAAAUAAUUAGUCCAAUGUUAAAUGAACUCUACUUUAAUUAACUUAUUUGGCCCUAUUUAGCACAACUCCGGAUUUAAGAUUUCCUUUUUUUUAGUUAUGUAUUUUUAGCUCCACAAAUGCAUGAAUCGAAAUCUAAGGUUACAUCAAAAAUAUCUAGAUUAGUCAUUUUGUUCUUAGUUUAGACUAAAUAUAAUAUUUGAAACCAAUACAAUUUAACAUACAUACUUCAAAUCCAACGUAAAAUUGGGAGCUAGAGUUCUGCCAAAUAAAUCCUUUAUUUUGUCAACCAGUUCAUAAAAUCUUUGGUAACCUUAGAGUUUAGGAAUUUAAUAGUAUAGGACCUCCAUUUUGAAAUAUAUGACGCCUUGACCUUUUAAUUUUUGGAUAUAAUGUUUCACAAUUUGUCUUAUUUAGAAUACUAUGCAAGUACUUCUUUUGUUUCAUAUUAUAAGACAUUUUGGGUUUCGAAUAGAUUUAUGCAUGGAUCCAUAUAUGUGCAUCAUAUACGUGUCUAAAUUCAUAUAGAUGUUAGUUAAUCUAGAUGUGGGGUCGAGAGGCCAAAACGUCUUAUAGCAUGAAACAAAGGAGGUAACAUUUAUUUUGUAUUUGAUAUGUUUUAUCAUUAAAGGUACUUUAACAAUUAUUGCAAUAAAUCUUUAAAUAAAAUGAAUUGCUCAACAUCAUGUCUAAAAAUUAAUAGCAUUAUUACAUAUUUAAAAAUAUAGGGAGUAAUGGAUCGGACGAGAUGAGUACAUGUAGUGAGUGGUUCUCCGAUUAGUUUUAGGGCUGGUUUUCAUUACUUUUAUUGCCUGGAUCUCUUUUAAUGAUUUUCAGGCAAUCAAAAAAAUCUACCCCAAAUUACAAAAAUCAAACUUUGAAUUCAAAAAACGCUUUAAAUCUAAAGGAGUACCAAGCAGAUCCAUCUCGGCCACUCAAUAUGUUGGUCCAUAUCAAGCCAGUUAAGUUUCAACUAGAGAGAUAGCAUAGGUUACUUUCAGAAAAAACAAAAGGGGAAAAAACAGAGAGCAUAAGAGUCGUUUUAUAGCAGUAGAAAGAAGCAAGAGUUACACGCAUCAAGGUGGUGUUUGGAUCAGGGACUUUAGUCCUAUAUUUAGACACUAAUUUAGAGUAUAAAAUAUAGACUACUUACAAAACUAAUUCAAUAAAUGAAAGCUAAUUCGCGAGACAAAUUUUUUAAACCUAAUUAAUUGAUAAUUAGAGAAUGUUUACUGUAGCAUCACAUAAGCUAAUCAUGGAUUAAUUAGGCUCAAUAUAUUCGUCUCGUGAAUUAGUCCAAAAUUAUUGAUGAGUUUUUAUUAAUAGUCUACGUUUAAUAUUUAUAAUUAGUGUCCAAACAUCCAAUGUGAUAGGGACUUAAAAACAGGGCCCAAGCACACCAUAGAAAAAAGACGCCCCACAUCACGGUUGCAGACAAAGUUGCAGAUUCCAGCAAUGACGCAAUUAAAACCGAAAAUUAUCUCUCAACCAUCCAUUCGAUCCAUCAACUCAUGCGGUGAUCGAUCGAUCAGCUGGAGAGAAAGUUCCAGUGACAGGUUCAUCAAAAUUAAGCCGGCAGGCAAGCCUGAAAGCUACCGUUAACGCAUUUUAUUUUUUUCAGAACAACUGACACCGGCCGUGUAUUUACUCCACUUAAUAGAAGCACCUCUGAUCAGGCUGGGUGAUCUUCUCCGUCAGCUUUUUACAUCAUAUCUACUCCGCCAAGUUGCAUCCACGGAUGUAAGGGUGAUCAUACUUUAUAUACCUUGUCCAAUAUGGUCUGUACUUGGUCAUUGCUAACUCCAGCCAUGGCUUCAUGUUACCGUUGUAAUGAACAACAGCAGCAUUAUCUAUCUCUGAGCGAUCAAUGCUUGGGUUGUAUCCUAAUCCAAGGACAUGCCACGACUUGUCAAGGGGAUGCGUCAACUUGUAGAAGGUUAAGAGGCCAGGUGGAAGCGUCCCAAGCUUCCAAAGAACCCGGUCUUCAUUCUGUUAGAAGAAAAAUAGCAAGAAUAAUGUUAGACUAAAUCAUGUUGCAUUACAGUUUCUUCUCUAAAUCAAUGUGAUCCAAUAAUGAAAGUAGUAGUCUCACCAUGCUUUGCCACUUGUGGUAGAUCCCAGUGAUAUCUUUCUUCUUCCACUCCUUCAGAUCAAAGAUGUUCAUUCCAUAAGCCCAGCCACAUGCAUUUGGAUCAAAGUUCCGAGCAAUAUGUGGAUUGGAAAAGUUAAGGUACUUGUCAAAACGAUGGAAACUCUCCCCACAGGUCUCCACUGCACCAUUGACCUUCCCAUUAAGAUCAACGUCCCAUAAUCCUGUCAAAUCUUUCUGCACGACUAUGUCAUCAUCAAGGAAAAGUAUCUUAUCCAACUUUGGAUAGACCUGUGGGAGAUAAAAUCUCAAGUGGUUCAGCAUGGAGAGGUACUUGGGGUUACGAUACUUUAGGUUUGAAGAACCCGCAGAGAGAGUGGUGGGGCGGUCAGCCUUGAAAUAAUACUCUUUCAUGGCUGCAGACUCAAGUUGUCGUAAAACAGGACAGUACGAUGAGUUCAACCACUUAAAUUCAUCUACGUUCUCAACAUGGAUGGUGGCCUUCCCAGGUGGGUUCAGCAAAAACCACAUGUUCAUGGCUCCAAAGUUCAACUUAUCAGUCACAAGAUGGAAAACAUGCUUCUCAGGCUCCUGAAAAGGUUAUGCCAUACAUAGUUGUCAGAACACUUAUCACUUAUCACAGUUUGCAUUUGAUUAAAGAGGAAGACAGAAACUACCUUAGCAUUCAUUAUGGUUGAGUUCACAACAACAGAUGCUGCCAAGACAUUGUCUGAGAAAAGUGCAUAGUGGUAGAGCUCUGGAUUUUCCAAGUUCUCGCUCCUCGGGAACUUCCUUUUCUCCAACGGGAGGAGAUAGUAAUCUAUUGUUAAGCGCAUCGACAAACAAUGAAUGCUGUUUGGAAUUGUCUUCGCAGCCAACUGGCUAAGAAAUGUACUCUGCUUCUUCAAGCUCCUGACUUGUUCAUCUGCUGACUGAAGCAUAGCUCUAAGUCUCUGAGUAACCGCCUUGCAAUCAUACACAUCUUCUCUAGCCUUGGAUAGAAGUUGACCCAUUACUCUGACUUUCUCAGGUGCACUGCAAAGUACAUUAUUUGUCACGAUGGAGAACAAGAUAAGAUAUCAGAUAUGAAGUGAAAAUAGAUAAGAUAUCAGAUCACAGAUAUAACACCUAUGAUGAAGGUCAGAAUCAGCAGUAGCCUCUCCAACAGCCCUCUGGCUUUCCUUGAUCCUGGUUUGCAGCUCUUGAUAAAGAUCAUUCUUGUUCUUUGAUUUAGCAAGCACAGAAUAAACACGUGCCAUGAUAAUCUGGUCUCUCAUCAAUCUAACUGUUGAAUCUGAGUUCUCAUUCUCAUUCUCUUUUCUCCAAAUGCUGUAUUUCCCAAGGACAGCAGAAUCUACAGCCUUUGAUCGUUCAAUAGCAGCAUUCUCCAGCUUAACACGUGCUUCAUCAUCUUUCCUUACCAAAUCCAUUGCCCUCUUUUCACGCCUUUUCUCCCUUAGUUUCUUUAGCGACCAAAACAUAUCAAGGGAAGUAUUAGGUCAUAAGAAAUGGAUAUCGAUAGAAACAAACAACAAUGUAUCAAUGUACAUACAAGAAGACCAGCAUGCUUACCCUUCGAGCAUUUUUUGCAGGUGCAUCGACUUGAUGUUCAGCUGCACAGAAAAGAAGUAUAUUUUCUUGAGUACCUAAUCGGAUUGUGUGAAAUGUGCUUUUCAAAAAAAGUCAUGGUUAUUUUUAUACCAGUAUCAUCCUUGGGUGUUUUAUCUGUCAGUGAUAACUCAUGUUCUGCAGAACUGUUUUCAGAUUUAACCUUGUCAUCAACAUCCAAACUAGCAUUGCUCAGGUCAUUGACUAGAUCAUCAGUUUUCCAAGAGGGAGAUGCACGUUUUCUGAAAAAAUCAACACUCAAAGUGCCUGCUUCUUGUUGACUAGAAGCUAAAGCAUCGAUCAUCUGGAGACCAAAAGGUAUGCAUAAGACUAAAAGCACAGAAAAAUCGAGGAUACUUCUGAACAAGAUGACAGUUUCCUAUGCAAAUAACAGUAGAUGGUAAUUGAAAAAUCAAAAUGUUCGCAACAGAAUUACAGAGCAGAUAGAGGACACAGCAUGCAAAUCUACUUGGAACAAUAGAGAGUAGCAUGGUAUUUAGAGAAAGGGCAAUCAGUUGCAAGGACAAAUCAGAGAUCAUGACAUUUCGAAAUUAGUAGCAUAGCAAAGAUGAGCAUGUUGUUAUGUACCCUUGUACAUUUCCAUGAAACCAAAAAAUAAAGAUAAGAAAUUAUAUUACUAAGUCGCAAGACAAUUCUGACCUCCUUGGACAAAAUAGAUUUCAGGUUGUUUGUUGCCAGUUGUUUUUGCCAAUCUGUUUCCUGCAAGCAAGCUUUAAAGUGAGAUGGAUCCUCAAAAUUUAGGCUAGUAAACCAAUUGACUAGCUCCCAGAAAAGAUAAAUACCUGAUUACCUUCCCUAUCCUUGGGAUCUGCAGGUAAACAGAAUACAACAUCACUUACAUAUUUCAAAUCAGUAUAGCAGUAUUCAAAUACUACAAAACAUUGACAAUGUUCCUACAGUUCUUAUAAAUGCAGUUUUCUUGUUUAUGGGCUUUUGGCACUAGAAUUACACCCACAAUUCACUUGUGCGCCCUAGCUUCUUAAUAGCUGGGGCUUUCCGCACAAUGUCACACAUCUAACAUUCUAACCUCGCAAUGGCACAAGUGACACUACAAGAGAGGGGAAAAUGAUUUCCAAAAUCACUUGAAGCACAACUUCAAUUGUCUGCUGUAAACUCAUGAUUUCUCCAAAGUGAGAUUGAUUAUUUGCGUUUCCAAAACAAAGCAUCAUGAUCCAAUUAUCUAUAUACAGAGUUCUCAUCCAAAAUCAUACCAUACCCUGUAAAUACAACUCAUCAAUUGCAUUUAACAACAGUACCACUAAAAUCUACUCGGAUUCCAUUCCGGCAAUAUCCAUGAGACCAACGCUGGGAAAUUUACCAAACCUGAAGACAUCACUCCCAGUCCCCACCCCACCAAAAAAAUAAUAAUAAAAUCUAGAUGCUACAUCAGGGGGGGGGGAGAGGGGGGGUGCAAACCGGAACCUGAGGCGACGUGGACGUGGCCCCCAUUGCGCGCGACGAAGAAGAUCGACGGCGCGAGCACGAAGAGGAACACGAGGACCACCAGCGGCGCCACCACGCCGGAGCCGGAGGCGCCGCCGCGCCUCCCCCCUCCUCCUCCUCCUCCCCCGCCGCCGCCGGCCGUGGAGUACGGGAGCCGCUUCGAGUUCGCCAUCCGCCGGAUCCGGCCGCCGCGGCGGCGAGGGCGACGUUGCCUUCUCCGAGACGAGAGUGGGGUAGGAGGGGAGUGGCGUGGUGAGAGGGGAGGAGGGGAAGCCUGGAACGGGAAGGAGGGGAAAGCAGCCGAAGCAGUCGGUGCUGGGCUAUUUGGGCCUGCAUUGUCUACGGCCUCGUUUGGAAUAGGCCGCGAAUUUCGGCCCAUUUGUGGGCGAGGUAGGCCGUCACGCCGCCGUCGCACUCGCCGAAGCCGCCUGCGUCGCAGCCGUGACACAUUCACACACGCCGCCGGUGCUGUCGCCGUGCGAACCCAUGGCGACUUUGCGUGAACUGAUCGGAGUUCAGCGACUGUGUGGCACUACCACAGUGUACAGGAGUAGCAUAUUUUUAGUGUGUGACACUAUGAAUACUCUUAAUUGCUGUCAAUAUAUCGGCUUUUUUUCUCCUUCUUUUCCUUUUCAAUUUUCGGCAACAAACAAUGGCGCGUGUGGAUGAUGGGUCGGGCUCGACAGGACCAAGGGGAAGAGACAGAGAACAAAAUGGAGAUGAUGGACGAGGAAGAGAGAAGAGGGAGGAUGAUACGUGGGUUCCACUUUUGUUUUGUUUCUUUCUUUUUUGCCACGUAAACGCUAGUCAGCAUGAAUGUAUUAGGUCAACUUGUCACGUCAGCAAAACCGAUCAUCCAUAUAGCCCAAAUACAUAAUUUAAACCGGUUUUGCAUGUUGAGGAUGAGAUUUCUUGUAUUGCGGUAUAGGGAUGUGAUUUAAACUCGAUAGAAAGUGACUUAUUCUGGGUGGGCUGCAAUUUUGAGGCCUAUCUGGACCGUGAUGAGCAUACCUUUCGUUUGGAUCAUGCAUCCGCGUAGUUGAUCAAAUCAUAAACUUUUGGUUAAAAAGAAGUUAGGAGUUUAAUGAUAAUCAGCUGUAUGUGAUAAGCAUCAAACUUGAGGACUCCAUAUAGUGUUAUAAUCCACUUUGGAUUUUAGGUUCUAAUUUUCGAGUUAGUUUUUAGAGUUGUUCUUAGUUAUUUGUUAUUGCCCGGGUUCUUUUUUAGUGAUUCCUAAGAGGACAAGUAAAAAUUCACCUAAAAUGAUUCUUAAGCAUGAAACUAAUUUAAAUUCAAAAACACUUUAUAAAGAAGUACCAAGCAUAUCUAUCUCGGUCAAUCGAUAUUUUUGGUGUAUAACAAAGCUAGUUAAAUGUGAAACCACAGAGCCACCAUAGGUUACUUUCAGAAAAAAGAUGGAAAAAAACAGAGAGCAUAAGAGUCAUUUUAUAGCAGUACUAGAAAGAGGCAAGACCGCAAGAGUUACACGCAUCAUCAAGCACACCAUAGAAAUCAUACACCACAUCACGGUUGCAGACAAAGUUGCAGAUUCCAGCAAUGACGCAAUUAAAACCGAAAGUUAUCUCUCAAACCAUUUCAUUCAGGCCCUAUUUAGAUGGAACUUAAACUUUUAAUUCCAUAUCACAUCGGAUGUUUGGACACUAAUUAUAAAUAUUAAAUGUAGACUAUUAAUAAAACCCAUCCAUAAUCUUGGACUAAUUCACGAGACGAAUCUAUUGAGCAUAAUUAAUCCAUGAUUAGCCUAUGUGAUGCUACAGUAAACAUUCUCUAAUUAUAGAUUAAUUAGGUUUAAAAAAUUUGUCUCAUAAAUUAGCUUUCAUUUAUUGAAUUAGUUUUGUAAGUAGUCUAUAUUUAAUACUUUAAAUUAGUGUCUAAAUAAAAAGACUAAAGUUAAGUUUCUGAUACAAACACCACCUCAAUCCAUCAACUCAUGCGGUGAUCGAUCGAUCAGCUUCAUCAAAAUUAAGCCGGCACGCAAGCCUGAAAGCUACCGUUGACGUAUUUGCUUCAGAGCACACGUAUUUUUUACCCAUGCCAGAUUACCAACCUUGCAACGACUUCUUCAGUUCAGUUCUCCUCAUGUACGUCUCCUGCAGAGUCUGGCAAGAUUCGAGAGCUAUCUUGACAUGUUCUGAAUUCUGAUCGCGACAUGAACACCAUGGUUCGUUCGGUUUUUUCAGGAAAAAGAAUCGCAUGACUCGCCAAGCGCAUAAUUAAACAAUCGUGUUUCAUAAUUAAUCCACACUUAUUAGCUGCUAGUACUAAUUUGCUAUACAAAUCCAGUCAUGUCCUCAUCGACGUAGACUGUAGAAUGUACAAAUGAAACGAGAUCUGUCUUUGUGUGUCGACUUCAUCUAAUAAUUGCCAUUUUUGCAGUAACAUCUACUGCAUCAUCGAUCGUUUCCAUUUGCUUGCCAUCUACUAGUGUUCUUCUAUUUACAAGCUCACCACACUCAUUCCCUAAAGCUAAUCAAAUAUGUGCUAAUUGCAGAGCUGAGCUGAGCUGAGCUAAAUGCCACUACGAAUAAUUAAAGAAUUUAACGCAAAGCACGCAGCGUCAUUUGGCGACAUUGCAUGCGUGUAGGUGUACCAUGGCAACCAAACGAAUUCGCUAAUCUACGAAUCGCGGCGGCGCCGCCGUCACUGCUGCGGCUGGCCGUCGGCGGCGGCGACGUCGUGCUGGUGCGGCCAGGGGAUGAGGCUGUAUGGCGGGAAGCAGCAGUCGCACUGCCCCGGGCACCGCCGCGGCCACUCGCCGGCCGCGGGCAUCUGCUCCGCCGCCGCCUCCUCGGCCGCCGCGGCGGCGACGGCGUCGUCUUCCUCGGGCGGCGCUCCGGCGUCGCGGAGCGGGCCCCAGCACUCGACGCGGUUGAAGCGUGGGAGGUUGGAGUGGAAGUAGACCCACACCGUGGCCUCCUCCAGCUCCGGGUGCCGGCUGAACAGGUUGCCGUCGCCGUGGACGAACGCCUUCAGAACCUGGCCGAACACGCGCCGAGUCAACGGUCAACCAAAGCAAGCGAUUAGGCUCGAAUUAAUCAAUUUCAGGAAGCUGUUCAAAAAUUUCGAUUUUUAUUCUCACAUCUGAACUUCCAAGUCGUGUUUGGCACGUGUCAAGUGGGCAUGCAACUUUGAACACAGUUGAUUAAUUUCACUAGUAUAUAAUAUUCUUAAAAAGUUGAUAAAAUAGAUUAACAUAUAAUAUAUUGCACCACAAACAUAUAAGUUUAAAUUUGACAUUUGACUUAUACAAGUUAUAAUAAAAGUAACAAAUUUAACAGUGAACAUAGUAAACUAAUUAGAGUUUGAUUGGUUAUAUUUAUUACAACUUAUAAAAGUCGAAUUUAAACUUACAUAUUAUAUGUGAAUCUAUAUUAUCAAAUAUUUUAAUUUUUUUUAUAACGAUUUAAUUGAUAUGUAACAGAUGGAUGGAUGCCAAUCUGAGAGAUUAAAAUUGUUUCCCCUACUUGUUGGAGAUCAGUUUUUGGUGCCACUAAUAACAGUGUCUAAAAUCAGAUCUAGAAAGUCAAGGGAUUUGCCUGCUUUAGCAGACAAGAAUUAUUGGAUCCCAUCAAUUAUCUCAGGGACAUUGACACAGAGUACGUCUUGAUUGCAAAAAUGAAAAGAGCAAAGGGGAAAAAAAAAAGGAAAAAAGCUUGUGGUCUCCAAGUCUGAAAGAAGAAGAGAGCAUCAGUAAAGCGAGCGACGAGGAAAGGGGCCACGUACGUACCACGGGGAGCUCCUUGCGGAAGAUGUAGUAGCGGAGGCCGGCGAUGAGGUCGAGGAGGACGUGGCCGCCGGAGAUGUGGCAGUGGACGUGCAGCGACAUGUGGCCCUGCACCUUCUUCCACUCCGCCACCACCUCGUCCCGCUGCAGCUUGUUGUACCACCCCUGCAGCUGCGCCCGGUUGAUGGUGUGCGACACCGCCAGCGUCAGCCUCGCCGUCACGUCGCUGUGCGUCAGCGUGUACGUCCGCGGCAGCUUCCCCGGGUGCUGGUGCUUCUCCUCGUCCACCCCCAGGAACAGCACCUUCAGCUUCGACGCCUCGAAGAUCGCCGGCCCGAACAGCCUCGCCCUCUGCACCACCACAUCCACAUACAUAUUUAAUUUACAUUUCAUUCGGAUUCUUCUUCUCCAACCAUUGAUUCACCGGAGAAGAAAGAGGAUGGUGCAUGUACGUACCGGCACGACGUAGCGGCAGCGGCGGCGGCGGCGAGAGUUGUGGCAGCGGGAGGCGAGGACGACGAGGGAGUCGGCGGCGUGCCACCGCUGCUGCUGGGUGAUGGGAGGAAGCAGGGACAUGGUCGAAGUAGCAGCAGCCAUGUCUGCUCCCUCGGAUCUCUUAGUCCUAGCUAGCCAGCAGUAGUUAACUUUAAGCCUAACAACCAAAACGACUCUUGACAGCUUUAAUUAUAAGCUGGGAUCUCUAUGGAGGCCGGAGAUGCUGGAGGCGCGGCUAAUUAAUCCCUCUCGGCGAAAGCACGAGCCUUGCACGCCUCAACAAAGACACCGGCCGGCCGAUCGAUCGAUCAAAAUUUUGGCUCGGUUUGGUAGCUUCGCGGAUUGGCUUCUCAGUCAGUUCAGCUCGCUGCAGGUUGGUGAUUAUAAGAGAGAGCGGGUUAAGUGAGAAGAAGAGUGUUGUAUUAGUGUUGGUGUGCACGCGUGGUGCGGUGGGGGGUGGAGUGAGGGGUCGGGAAACGUCGCGGUUGUGUGCGCGCGCGGGGAAGCUCGCGUCGUCGCCGCGCCCUCCUCUCGUGUCGUCUCGCGGCGGUGGUGGUGGUGGUGGAAAAACGCCCAGGAAAACGGGGGAAAUUGUGGCGUUCGCGCGUGGGUGGAAACGGGAGGAAUGGAACGCUUGGCCGUGCUGCACGUGGCGUCUCUGCUACAGGAGCGUGGUUUGAUGCAAAUUUGACAUUCGGUUACGGCCUUGUUAGUUCCAAAUAUUUUUUCUUCAAACUUUCAACUUUUUCAUCAUAUCAAAACUUUCCUACGUAUAUAAACUUUUAACUUUUUUUGUCACGUCGUUUCAAUUUUAACCAAACUUCCAAUUUCGAUGUGAACUAAACACAUAUAUACGUAUACGUACCACACACCUACUUAUCUGUAACUAUUUUCCUCUUGAAACGGGCUAAAUAUUGAUCGUAAUUUGCAGAGUUUCUACCGAAAGACAUACAGCAGGAUACUUAAUAUUGGCCCGAAUUAAUCUAGUGGAGACUUGGACUUCAUUUGGUUUUGACCAUGCAAUAUAUGGGGACUGCGUCUGCUUAAUUGGGAUUGUAAUUUUGCGUUACGUACGUUGCACCGCGCAGUGUACUCAACAUUUCAAGUAACUCGUUGACAAAGCAAAUGAUGGAGAUAUUUUUUUUUCCGGGGGAUCUGAGUGGAUCAAACUUCAGAGUGAUCGUUCCAAACACGAUUCCAACUUCUUUUUUUUAUAGAACUAGAUUCCAAGUGUAAUUACAUGGUAGAACUAGAUUCCAAGUGUAAUUACAUGGUGUAAGGCUACUGCACGGCGCUGUUGCUUGCGAGCUAGGCGCAUCCGUGCUUUCUGAAAUGCAUGUAUAUAUGCGCGAGUGAUCAUAUUUUUGACUGAAUCCUCCGCGAUGCGUGCGAGCUGAUCAGCUCGUGCAAGGCAGCUGACACACUCACAUAAGCGAUCGAUGCUAGUUAUGGAAUCUAGCUUAAUUUUUCUCGGUCUAACUGAAGAAGGAGCAUUCGUCACGUUUGGCAAAUACGGCCAUGCGACAUAUAGUUGGAAGACGAAAAUGGGAGACUUGGCUCGUGGUUAUCAUGUUCUAGCCUCACCCGUUCCCACAGCCCACGUGACCAAACAGGAUGAACGAGAGCGCCAAAGCUUCAUCGAUCCGUUUCUUUGCUUCUGUUUUCGAUAUGUAUGCCAUGUUUGUGAAGGUUAACGCUAUGAGAAACAGCUAGCUGGUAACGAGCUUUUAAGAAUCUACAUAAGCUAGACAAAAUCGUAUAUCGAUGGGUCAGCUUAAGAACCCCCAUAUGAAAUGAUCAUAUAUACCUUCAAUCUGGGGACCCAAUCUUAUUAAAAAGGAAAAUUGAAAAUCUUGAGGCCCAACGUGAAUCACAUAUACUGCAGUUAUAACUGUUUCAAAACGCCACAAUGUCUCAAAAAAUCUGUAAAAAUUCUGCUCCGAUACGCCAGGCGGGCUAGCUGCCGGCGGAAGGCUGCAGAAAGUGCAGAUUCGUCAGAGGCGGAGACGUUCAUGCAACUCCGAGCGAGAAUUUGCAGCCCGGCCGUAAAUAAUCUAGAGGUGAAUUCCGUCCGGUAAAUAAUCCACGGUUACGAAUUACCCCUAAACUAUUAUGGACGAUCGAAUUACCCCCUAAACUCGAAUAUCAGAUAUUUUACACCCUUAACUAUACAAACCGGGUAAAUAACCCCCGGCUCAAUCCGGGGUGGUUUCAGUACUACGUGGCAGUCCGAUCAGCAUUUUUUUUUUAAAAAACAGUGUGGGCCCCACCUGUAAGACUCUCCGCUCUCUCUUUCACCUCUAACGUCUCAAUCUCUCUCUACUCUCUCAAUCCCCAUCCCCUCUCUUCCUCCUCCUCCCUCACCUGCUGCAGCGAGCGGCGGCAGCCGGCCGGCGCACGGCGACGCGCCAUCUCUCUCCUCUCUACCCUUGCUGUGGUGGUGGCCGGCUGGCAAGGCGCGAGUCCCCCAUUACCAUCGAGCUCGGGUGACCGUACGACGCGCCCCACCUUUGCUUCCACCGGACAUCGUGCUUGUCCCCCAUCUCUGCCUCAUGCUCCCGCGGAGGCUCGCCAACGUCGCCGAUGGGGGUGGUGGACAAGCACGGCAGCCACCUUCGGUGAUGGUUUGUGCACCGAUGUCUGCGCGUCGAUCCGUCUCCGCCGUCGGCCACCGUCUCCUCCUCCAGCCAUAGACGCAGAGAGAGAGAGCAAGCAGGGAGGCAGGGGCCAGGGGGAUGGGAUUUGAGAGGGAUUGGUGGAGGAAAGAGAUGACAUAUGGGUCCUAAGAUUUUUUUUAUUUUUAUUUUGCUGACUGGAUGUCACGUUGGCGGCCACGUAUGCAGACACAAGUCAAAAACCAUCCAAAACAGUGCUCAGGGGGGGUUAUUCGUCCGGUAUACAUAGUUUAGGGGGAACGAUGUCUGGUUUUCGAGUUUAGGGGGAUAAUUCGAUCGACCGCUAUAGUUUAAAAGGGUAAUUCGUAUUUUUUUUCCUUUUUAAUACAUAGAGAUGAUUUCUUGGGUUGAGAUGCAUUUUAGUAGUAAUCCGGAGGUGAAUUCCGGUGAAUUUUGAGUAUUUUAUUUACUACUACUACUUCCAGUUCCAGGAUGCAGUCGUCGUCAGGAAACUGGAGAGGACACCGGGCCAAAUUUAGCUAGGCGACGUGGAUGCACCGGCGUGUGGGCUUCAUUUCCGUGAUGCUUAGAAGGCACGGUUUGCCCUCUCUCGCGAUCGCCUGCCUGGCCCGCACGCUGCCCGCGGCCGCCGGCCGGGGGCAUGUCGCGAUCCGAUCCACGUUUCGCGUGCGGUAUACGUGCUCGAUCAGGUUCAGCUCCCACGGCCACGGGCGCGCGAUUGAUUGAUUCACCGGCCGCGUGGCCGCUUCCGGUUAACAUGCGCGCUCAACGCGGUCACGGUCACGGCGCGUGUGUUGUGUUGUGUUGUGUUGUUGCGGAUUUGAGAUUUGCAUGCAGUUGCAAGCCUCGCUCGCUCGUAUUACGGAUGUCGUAUGUGGUGUGUAUGCCUACCCCGAUUCCACGGUGGGUGAGCUGCAAAGUACCCGUAGUUUUCAGUGAAAAAACUCACAUUUAUGCAUGCAUUAUAUCGCUGCCACCUCCUUUAUCCAAUACGAUCGAGUAACAGUCAGGGUUCAGGUUCUUUUUUUAUAAAAAAAAAUCUGUAACUGAUUGAAAACCGUAAAAUUUUUAGGUUUUGACGUAGAACGAAGGCAGAUUCCGAGUAAAAUUUUGGAAUGUUUUCAAGGAUUCAAAUUUUUAACAACAAAUUAAUUUGACCGAAAUUUGACGAAAACCAUCAUAUCGUCGUGAUUAGGAUUAGGCACUAGAUCAAAAGGUGCACCCUGUAUCACAAAUUGUAAAGGAUGAUUUUAUUCCUGAGUAAUGGAAUGCCCUGUUUUUCCCGAAAAAAAAAAGUUGCACCCUGGUGAUUAGGAUUAGGAUUAUGUUGACCGUGCAUGCUCAGGCUUCAACACUCACGAGCUCGCUUGGGUACCCGUGAGUAUAUAUGGUUGUCAAAAUAUAUCAUACGACUUUAUGGUUGUAAUUAAGGAGUCUGAUUCUACGAUAUAGUAGGUAGAAUCAAUGAUGUUAUCAUUUUUAUGUAUACGAUUUUAUGAUUACGAUCCUACUUAGACAAAUCUGAUUCCAAUUUAAGAUUGUGAUUUUAACGACCUUGCAUGUACUACAGAGCUUGCUCCGUCGGUCGGACACAGAUACAGUGACAUUCCCCCGUGACAUUCUCGGUGACAUUGAGUCACUGACAUAUGGCCACAUGUCAGUGACUCAAUAUCACCGAGAAUGUCACGGAGGAAUAUUACCGAAUCCCAAUCCCCAUCGGUCAAUAGGAGACCAACGAGCUCUCACUUUGCUCCUUCAACCAUGUGCCCUCGUGCUCCUUGUCCUUGUUCUCCUGUUGGACUAUGGUCGUCGUCACAUAGCUGCAGCCCCAUCACAUGCCCUUCUUUGCCGAUCUAGUUUAUUUGCCCCCACUUCCGUCGCCGUAGCGGCAUCUAAGGCCUGGUUUAGUUCUCUAAAAUUUUUAUAUAUAUAAGCAUUAAAUAUAAACUUAAAAAAACUAAUUGCACAGAGAAAUCACUUGAUGAAUCUUUUAAACCUAGUCCAUGAGACUACGAUUAGCCAUAAAUGCUACGGUAACCCACAUUUGCUAAUGACAGAAUAAUUAGGCUAAAAAGAUUCGUCUCGCGGUUUCCAGACGAGUUAUGAAAUUAGUUUUUUCAUUCGUGUCCAAAAAUCCCUUCCGUCAUCCGAUCAAACAUCCAAUGUGACAAUUAAAAAAAAUUUCUUUUCGCGAACUAAACAGACCCUAGGCACAACAAGAGUGGAUGAAAUAGAGAUGAGGAGAAGAUCGAGAGAGGGAGUGGCAAAUGACAUGUGGUCCAAUUUGUAGCCAAGUACUAGGUGCAGAACAAGUCAUUAAUUUCAAGUCCUCUCCAAUUAAAAAAAACAAAAGACUAGUUUUUGGCAUGUGUUUUCGCAUGCCCGAACUUUUACGGUGACUAGUGGCAAACACCAUAUUUUUUUUAAGUAUCUAUAACAAAUUUUGGCUAGAAGUUAACUCUAGUUGACCAAUUAACCUGGAAAUUUUGAGAAUACGUUGCGUCAAUAAGCUUGACGAAUAAUUAUAGUGACGUUUUAAUAACAAAAUAUAUCCAACUUGUCAUGAGAUUUCUCGUAGAAAAAAUAAAUUUUGUCAUGACAGAUUGAGAGUUUGAGAUCAGACAGCACAUCGCAUUCAUAACAAACACCAUUAUACUACUACUAUUACAUUAUAGCGAAUGAUAUGCAUUUCAGACAUAUACUGUAGCACGUUUACCACGAGCCUUUCGGUCGCUCGAUAAGCAUCGAUCUGGAUACAGUGAGAAAAUGAACAUGGACACUUUUUCGACGAAACAAUGAUUUUCUUUGGUGACCUUAGCCCAAGGAACUUCUUCAACGUGAUUUUUUUUUCCUUUUGGCAGGGUAUGUAUACAUAUAUAUAGAUUAGUGAGAUGUGACUGGGAAGAGGGCCAGCAAGACAACAGCAAAUUGCUUAAGGGCAUUCUCAAUGUAUAAAAUGCACGCAGAUCAUAAGAUGAGACCCACGAUUAUAUAUGAUCUUUUGCUAAUAGUAUAGUUACAACAAAUAUCUGCUGCUCGUUCUGUUGGUGUUCACGGAAGCGGCGGUGCCUGAAAGCUAACAGCGAAUAGGGCCUCUUGUUCGAUAAUGCAACAGUUACUGUCACAAACUGUUCGAAUUUUACAUACUCAUUACUCUCUCGUCUCAUUAAAAAAAAUGAUCUGUCUCAUUAAAAAAAAUCAACCUAUGAUGAGAUGUGAUGUUUCUAGGUACAAUAAAUCCGAAUAUGCAUAUAUGUUUUCUAAUACAAUACUAGAAAACAUCUUGCCUCAUUCUAGAUUGGUUUUUUAUGGGACAGGGCAGCACUUGUGUAUGUUUGGAUUUUGCAUAUCAUGAUAAUUCAGACUUUAUACCCUCUUGUGCACGUUCAUAACGUUUCAUAUUCUGUAAACAAUUUUAUGAAUUGAACCUGAACGAGAACUAACUUAUUUUUGGGUAUGUUUAGUUCACGCUAAAAUUGGAAGUUUGAUUGAAAUUGGAACGAUGUGAUGGAAAAGUUAAAAAUUUAUGUAUGUAGAAAAGUUUUGAUGUGAUAGAAAAGUUAAAAGUUUGAAGAAAAAGUUGGGAACUAAACCAGGCCAUAUGGAUGUAAACAUAUUCAGAACACAAAUGCCACUAGGCUCAAAAGUCCACAGUGCUAUAGUGUCACACCACAGUAUGUACAGUGAUUGUCUGAUUGAUAGGUUUAGGGAUCUUUUUUUUUUCUAAAAACGUUUAGGGAUCAAAUGUUGCCAAAGCGACCAAAGUAUCACAAUAGACAAACUUGUCACAAUCGGUACAAUGUUGCACGAUAGACUAUGAUGUCUUAGGCCUGAUUUUUUUAAUUAGCUGAAUAAUUUUAUAAUAAUUAUUUGAGAAUACAAACAAAUGCACCAAAACUAUUAGAAAGCAGAAAAAAUAAAUAAAUUCAAAUAUAGAGAGUUUUUUCAAUACUUAUACUGUUUAGAAGCUCAAAAAUAUGUCCCUCUAUUCUUUCAUUCCUUAAAAAAGAAUAUCGAUCCUUAAAAUUAAGGUCGCAUACAUAAUUUGAUAAAUAAAUAUUGUAUCACGUUUCAAUUUGUACUUCGUAUCAUUAAUUAUUGGUAUGGAAACUGUCCAACAAAUGGUGAUUUCUUCAUCAAUAGAUCUAGGGCGAAACCCAGUAAUCAGGUAUGUGGGUCAUCGGUCGUUGGGUGAGGUGAUCCAAACUUGGAAGCAUUUAGUAGAAAUUAAUUAAAAUAUCCACAAGCCAUGCAUGAUAAUUGUAUGAAAAAAUUCCAUGUGUACCUCUAAAAGUUCACCUAAUUCCUUCUACGUUGCUGAAUUUUGUUCAUUUCCUUGCAUACUCUUGAAUCUUGAAUUUUAGUUUGUAUCCAUUCUAUGUCCUUUUAGUUGACUGUCAGUUGGACGUUAAAUUCUCGUGUAAAAGUCCAUUUUUACCCUUUACUAUCAAGAAACAUAAUAAAUUAAUGGAGUAUAUUGUUUGAGUGUAGAAAUUUGUUCAGUGUGACUAUUAUAUUUAUGAGUUUGUUAUGCACCAUAUUAUUUGUGACAUAAUUACUUUUAGAUAUGAUAUAAAAAAUUUAAUAUUUAUUUAUUAGUUAUUAAAAGUUGGUUUAUGUAGUAUAUUUGUUUUGAUAGUAAUAUAACAUAUUUGUUGUAUAAGACAAAUAUAUUUAUAUGCUACAUAAGCAACUUUUAAUAACUAAUAAAUAAGUAAUUGAUUUUUUAUUUCAAUAUCUCAAAGUAAUUUAUCGCAAAUAAUAUAGUGCAUAACUAACUCAUAAAUAUAAUAGUCUCAUCUAACAAUUCUACACUCCAACGAUGUACUCUAUUAAUCUAUAUUUUUUUCAUAGCAAAGAGUAAAACGGAAUUAUUCAUAAGAAAUUAACGGUCAACUAGCGGAAAGGGCAUAGAAGAGAACCAAACUAAAAUUCAGAUAUAUGUAAAGGACGUAGAAAGGAUUAGGCGAACUUUCAAGAUACGUACAUAAUGAAUUUUCAGGGGUACAUAGUGAUAAAUUUGCAACACCUUGCGUUUUCGUUCUCACAACGCAGAAAGUUCAGACCUAAUGUUAUAGUCAUCAGGGCUAUCAUCCUAUUUAAACUACUAUAUCUCCAGCCAAACCACGGAUAUGGUACUAAGGCUCCGUUCAAACAGUACAUGAUUAAUUGAAUAUUAUCUAUUAUAAAUUUGAUAAACUGAUUUAUUUAUUAAUCUUUAGAAAAAGGUUCUAUAUAGAAAUCUUUUCACAAAAUAUAUCACUUAGCAUUUUGACAAAGUGUUAUCAAAAAUAAAAAAAAGUUAUCGUUUAAAGUUACGGAAAAGAACUCAGCCUAAAAGCUAGCUACAGCAUGCCAGCAGCUGUUGGCUGCUGCCUUUGCUGCCGUAACGUAAGCUCUAAGCACCACCGCUGCUUGCUCGCCAUGGACCAAGCAAGGCCCAAUGCCGACCACUACGCUAGCUAGCCUGCUUUGCUAGGCCCACAAGCAAAGAAACCAGCCCACUACCUUUUUCUCUUAUCUCUUUUUUUUUUCAUCAAUCAAUUAUUCCGGGACGUUACAUCGGUAUCAUGGCCUCAUGGGAACUAUUCUCCUUAAAUCCUUGAGUAUUCUAAAACUUGAGAAAUAUUCAACCGUGUUUGUUUGGAUGCACCACAAAAGGAAUGGUUUUUUUAGAUCCACAAAAGAAAUGGUACAGGACUUUGGAAGAAUUAUAGAUAGAGAUUUUCUUUCACAAGGUUAUCUCUCUCAUGUCAGAAAUCUACUUAGAAACCUACUGUAUUAAUUUAUUUUGCGAAAAAAAUAUUAGGACCAAAAAAGCACGGGUUACAUCGGAAAAAUUAUGUUACUAAGUUUUUUUAAAUAGAAAGUUCAAUUUUACUCUCCCGAAUUAUUUCAUUGGAGUACUUCACUCCUAAGCAAUUUUUUGGGUUAUUUUACACCCCAAACUAUUUAAAACGGUUCAACUGACCCCCUAUCUGUAUUUCUAUUUUUUCCCUCUCUAUAUAUGUCGUAUUUUAUACUAAAUCUAAAAGGAUCGACAGAUGCAUUAUAACUUAUCUCUCAAUAUUUUUUGAAUUUUUUUUAUCAUUGUUUACAUAGGUUGGAAACACUAGAACAUAUUUAAACAUCGAGGUUUUAAGUUUAAAGAAAGUAGUUAUGAAAAUAUUUUAGAACUUUAAUAAUAGUGCCAUCUCUGCCUUAAGAAGUUUAGCUUAAAAUACAGCUUGUAUAAAAGAGAAAUAAAGAAGAGAAAUACUAUUAAGUGGUAAAGUGAAGCAUCAUUAAUAGUUUAUGAGGCAAAAAAAAGUUCAUGAAUUCAGUGCUAAGCUAUGCCUCAUUUGGAUUUUUUUCAAAACAUAGUGCAUAUGCGGACGCUCAUAUAGUCAUAUAAAUUAACGGAAUUGCUAAAAAACUUGCGACAGUUUUAAGGAAAACUGUCAAUUUUUCAGUCGUCGGAUUUACUCCGAGAUUCGUGCGUGCGAGAUGAAAGAAAAUAGCAAAAAGCAGUACGCUAUACUGGGAGUCGAUCAUUUCCCCUCCAAUUAACUAGAGUAGCAUCCCUACCACUGAGCCAGCUGAACUAUUGAUGUUGAAAGCAGAGUUACAUGAUACUCACAUAUGUGUAACCACAUAGCAGAUCCCUAUUUUUUGGAUAAUCUUAUUAUAUUUCUAUUUUCUUUGUGGGCUUGCUAGCAAUGAUGCUGGUGUUGGAUACAAAUGCUAAAAUUUUUUUUGAAUGUUUUGGUACCUAGUUUUUAUCGAACGUCCUAUAUGUAUUGUCAUCGUGCUUUAAUAUACUUACAUAACACUUACCCUCUAGUUACAGAGUAGUUACAUAGCAGUUACACCCUAGUUACAGAGUAGUUACAUUAUGUAAAAUUAGGAACUACAUUUUUUUUUCAUGAGCAUGCAUACUAGAAGCAUGCGUACUAGCUUGUACUAGUGUGGAACCGUUUUCCUGUAACGGUUGAUGACAGACCCUGUGGUUAAAAAAUUUGAAAGUUUUGAACCUCUGUCGACAACUCACUAGCCAGUCCCUAAAUUAAUGAGCGCAUACCUUACCUUUAUAAGUACUUUCAAAGUAGUUAUUGAUGUUUCUGUAAAUGCAAGUAUUUAUGGCAAGUAUAAGAUUUGAACAUGGCUGGGCAGGUCCAUCACAAGAAUUUUUUAAAAAACAGCGUUCAUCUGGAUUUCGGAAGAAUGGAAUUCACAAACUGCUAGAUGAAAUCCGAGGUACUAGUAAUUUGGAGUUGUACUAGCUACUUCAGGGUGUGUCAGGGUGUGUUUAGUUCACGUUAAAAUUAAAAUUUUGGUUGAAAUUGGAACGACGUGACGCAAAAGUUAGAAGUUUAUAUGUGUAGGAAAAUUUUGAUGUGAUGGAAAAGUUGGAAGUUUGAAAAAAAAAGUUUGGAACUAAACUCGGCCUCAGCACUAUUGGAGUUGUGAGUACUGAGUUGUUUGUAAAAUAUAACAUUUAUUCUUUGUGAAAUCCCAUAUUUUCCACCACAAAAUCGAUCAGAAUUCAGAGCAGACGAUCGAAGCAGCCUCAAGCAUCCACGGCGCACCGGGGGUACUCGAGAAGCGGCACGUCGCCGCCGCCGCCGCCGCCGGCCACCGCGGCCUCCGUGCUCAGCCCGACGACGACGUUGCACCGCACGUACAGGUCGCGCCACCCGCUCCUGAACGGCCCGCUCCUGUACUUGACCCUGCCCAUGACGACGAGCCGGAGCUGCACCCGCCGCGCCGCGCAGUCCGCCGCCAGCGCGCGCGCCGCGUCGGGCGACACCGGCACGGCCGCACCGCCGAGCAGCGGCGACAUCGCCACGUCCGCGCCGCGGUCCUGCGCCACGGGCGGGAGCGGCGCCGGCGGCAUGACCGGCUCCCCGCGGUACGACGCGUAGGCGACGAGGCCGUCGUAGAGCAGCGACGCCCUGUCGCUGGGGUUGUGGAGCACCAGCGUGAACUGCACGCUCGCGGCGAGCGCGUGCGCGGAGGAGGAGGCGUUGGCGAGGGCGAGGCGGUACACGGCGGCGCGCGGCACGGACGCCUGCGGCAUCACGGGGCGGUAGACGAGGUACAGCACGAGCGCGGCGGCGGCGGCGGCGGCGAGCGCGGCCACGGCGAGGGCCGCCGUGGCGAGGUGGCGGAAGCGGCGAGCCCGGUGGUGGGCCUCGCAGAACCGCGCCUUCCUGGAGACGUCCAUCGACACGACGAUGCCAGCUAUGUCCCGACCUCGUCUCGGCGUCCUCCUCCUUUCCACCUCGCGUAUUAUUCCGCGUCGUCACGUCACGCACGCGAGGCGGCGCCGCGGAGGAGGAAGCCAUGUGGAUGGAUGGAUCGCGAAUUCGGGAGCAGUUUGGAAAAGCGGCCGCGCGCGCGAGCUCGGACAAAACGGGGUGGUGGCUCGCGCGCGCGGCGGUAGAAAGAAGAAGCCAAUAGGCGCUGCGGCUGCUGUGACGCUGGCUGCGGCGUUGCGGGCGGAGUACUGAGCUGGAAACCUGGGAAAGAGAAGCUGGCAGGGACGUUUGCAUGCAUUGAAACGUAAGCAUGUGUGACGAAACGUGGUGAGUACUUUGGGAAGAACAGACGAUGGAUGAUGGGAUCUGCUGAAGUAAUGGAGGCUUCACUGGAAUACCACUGGAUGCAAUUACUGGUCUAUUUUUUUCACACAUUUGAAAUAUUAAACGUAGACUAAUAAUAAAACAAAUUAUAAAUUCUACCUGUAAACUGCGAGAUGAAUUUAUUAAGCAUAAUUAAUACGUCAUUAGCAAAUGUUUACUGUACCAUCACAUUAUCAAAUCAUGGCGCAAUUAAGCUCAAAAGAUUCGUCUCGCAAUUUACAUGCAAACUGUGCAAUUGGUUUUUUUCGUCCACAUUUAAUGCUCCAUGCAUGUGUCCAAAUAUUUGAUGUGAUAUUUUUGGCAAAAAAAUUUUGGUUCUUAAGAGCAGGUACAAUAGCAGGCUAUAAGCCAGCUGCAAAUAUAUUUUAAGGAGUUAAAUAAGGAGAGAGAAGUGCAGCGGGCUAUAGAUUUGUAGCCAGCUGUAGCACGGACUCCAAGACGCAGUGUGUGUAUGACAUGUAGGACCAGGUAUUAAUAGUGUAGUAUGUAACUAUUGUAUGAAUGAGCUAUUAGAUUGACUAUAGAUGAAUUGGAGUUAGUAGUUAGCUGUACUAUUGAACUUGCUCUAACACACCCUGCGUUAGUUACCUCCGUUCCCAACUUCUCUCCCUCGUUUUUCGCGCACACGCUUUUCAAACUUCUAAACCGUACGUUUUUUGCAAAAAAAAAAUAUAUACGAAAGUUGUUUAAAAAAUCAUAUUAAUCCAUUUUUGGAAAAAAAAAGCAAAUAUUUAAUUAAUCACCCGCUAAUCGCUGCUCUGUUUUCCGUGCCAGGGAGUGAGGGUUCCUGAACGAAGCAGAACAGUCCAUUAGGCGGAAAACGAGAGAGAUGAGUUGGAAAACCUAGGGUAAGAACACAGCCUUAAAAAGCAAACUCUCAUGUCGUGUGCCCCCCGCCUAGGCGAGACGACAGUUUACCACAUCUCUACUACUUAAAAAAUAAGAGGUGCUUCCAUCGUCCGUCAAAAAAAUAGAGUGAAAAAACCGGACGAAAAAAAUCUGUCCGAUCCAAAACAAAACGGACGAAAAUAAACCGGAUGAAAAAAGAAAAGAAAAAUCAAAUCUGUCAUAUAAAAAAAGGGCGCAAUAAAGGAAAAGAAAAACGAAUCCGAUUCCACGGUAAAAAAAAAGGGAGAAAAGAAAUUAAAAAAGGAAUCUAUCCGAUUCUAAAAAACGGGCGCAAAAAAACAGGCGAAAAAAAAAUCAGGUGAAAAAAAAGAUCGGCCAAAAAAAACGAAUCAGAUUUCGUUGGCGCGGUAAGAAAAGAGCAAAAAAAAAACAAAUCUGUCCGAUUCUAAAAAAAAGGAAUUAUAUGUGACGCGGUAAAAAAAAUCGAAUCCUAUUAUAUUUGACACGAUACUAUAUAUCUCUAUCUUCUCUAUCUCUACUACUUAAAAAAUUAAAAACGUUUCCGUUGUCCGUAAUAACAAAAAAGAAGGGCGAAAAAAACAUUAAAAAAAAGUUUGAUUCAAUUUACUUCCGUCAUGCGUAAAAAUCGUAUCUUAUCUUAAUCUCAAUCUUUCCGAGGGGAAAAAAAGAAAGAAAUUAAAGAAAGGGAUAAACUAGAUUGAUGUUCCCAAAAUUAAAAGAGGAUAAACGAUAUUGAAACUCCCCUAACUCGAAAAGAAGGAAUAAAAUAGAUUUAAAUUUCCCGACAAAAUUCUCCAAAUUCGAAGAACCCUAAUUUCGGGUAAGAACCAUAAGAGUCAAAAUCCAAAUCAAUUAAGCUAAAGGUUCGGGUUACUUAUCGGACUUGAAACCCAUGAGCACACCGGAGCUUUCCAGGAAGCGGCACCGCCGCACCUUCACCUCCUCGCAGUCGUGUCGGGUUCCCUGCGCGCUGUCCUGGAGCACCCCGCCACCAUCCUUUGCCGAAGACGGGAAGCGUCGGCUUGGCGUUGCCCCUACCGCCGACGAGGUCCAGGCCGCUCGGUGCUCGUCGCCGUUUGCACGCCUACCUAGCCAGACCGCGGACGUCGUGGCACGGCUUUGCGUCGCCCUCGGGUGCGCCCCCAGCCGGCGAAGCAAGAGCCGCUCGGCGGUCGUCGCCGUACGCACGCACCAGCUUGCCGGACCGCCGUCGUUCCGCUGGCUCGUCGUCGAAGAGAAAUGGGAUCAGGAGAGAGCGAUUUGGGAGCUAGGGUUUUGCCCCUCUCUCCCGGUCGGUGCUUCAUCCGAGGCAGGGACGAUUGGAGCCGUCCAUUAGAUCGGACGGCUCAGAUUCGCCUAGCGUCAGGCCGUCGCCGCCGUUGAUUACGCUGCGCCUAAUGGGCCGCGGAAGUGCAUCGGACCGUCCCCGCAUAUGUGGGCCACGCUCAGCUGCUCAGCUUGCGGGCCGUCGAAUUGAUGACUCAACUCGCCGAAGAUGGGCAAGCCCAAGUUUGGGCUAGCUUGGGAAGACCUAUGCCGAAAGCAAAUUUGAUCAAACAAUGUGGCUCACAUUUUUCAAAUUAAAGUCUGUCGGAUAAACUCCUAGGUAGGCUCGAAAAAUAAAUCUAAAACUAAAUCCUAAAUCCUAUGCUAAUUGAUCAAAUUAGACUCGGUUCUACUUAUUUGUUAAUAUACCAAAUUAGACUUGAUUUUUACAGAUUUGAGGUUUUCAAGGUGUCACACUAUCAAACGAUGUUUUUCCGUUGCAACGCACGGGCACUAUUGCUAGUCAUAAAAAGAUUAAAAAAAAGGAAGCCGGCAGCAUUUGUAGAAGUUUGAAAAAAAAUAUUUUAAUAGAUGAUUUGGAAUCACCUGUACAUUUCGACAAUGCUACUGAAGUAGUGGCGUUAAUGCCAAUGGGCUGUAGUCCACGGGAAAUGAAGCAAGCUUGGCCCACAAAAGAUUUGGACUAGUCAAAUUAUUGGGCCUAUUGUUGCCAUCCCAAAGGGAAGGAAAUUCAACACUCAACGUCAUCCUUUCUGCCGGGUGUUCCAGACUUCCAGUGAAAUUUAACUGCCCACGGUAAAAUUUGGAACUGGCCAAUUACCAAAUAUCAUAGGAAAAUUUUGAACUUUUUACCAGUAGCUAGCCGGAAUACUUGUAAAUUCAACUUUAAAAUAUGUAGUACUAAAUUUACAACUUCUCGACCAGCAGGCGUCCAUAACGAUUUGGUACGACGUGCAUUAACCGAGCCAAAAUGAGGAGCAAUACCAAUUUUCAUCCUGUUAAAACGUACACAUUUCACAAAAGAACACAUCUUCGGAAGCAUCACAAGCUUUACUGAAAGUAUGAAACUACACCAACGAUGUUCAGUGUAAGAAACUGUACAAAAGAACUUUGUCUUUGGAUAUCCUUGACACCUUACAUCCACACACGUCCAGCUUACACGUUAACUGUUGGCUAGAUACAAUUUAGAAAACAUAAAUACGUGUGCUACAUGAUAAACGCAGCUUAUCUAGAUCUGAAGCAAAAUAUGAUCCCUACUGACAAACUCUACAAUGUACGAGGUCCAUGGCCUAACCUAGCACACGAAGUUAGCCUGUAUAUAUAUGCAACACCACCAUACACUGCUGACUGUAGGUCAGGGCAAUCAUACUUUCACUCUUCAAACAAAAUCUGACACUGACCACCAGGAUAACCGUGGCACAGCAAUCUCCUGAAGUUUGGACAGCCCUAGCUCCCUUGGACACCAUGAUCUUGCCGAACAAACUGACCCUUAACCCGCGGUCGCUGCUCGGCUAGUAGCUUCCUGCUCUGGUAUCGCACCUGCACAGCAAUGUAAAAAUGUAAACCACAGUUUCUACUAUUCAGCAAUACAACAAAUUGGAUUGGAAUAAAAUGGCAAGAUUAGUUGCUUGUGACCUACCUUCUUCUCAAAGCACCUGUCUUUCCUCUUAAGCCGGAACUUGUUCAGUGCAGCCUCUCGUUGGCUCAGGUGGCGUAAACCAUCAGGAUUUUCAGGAACAACAUUUGAUGAUUCAGUAGGGGCAAUCAUGUGGUUGGAAGAGCUGUCACAGACACUGCCACUGAGCGUUUUUCUGGCGCUGUCCAGCACAGUGCUGCUCCCACUUUCACCGGUGGUUGGAGAAACAUGCCGCGGCUCAUCUGUAGGAAUUUCAAUGCGGAGAUGUUUCCGAUUAGCACUUAGAUGACUCCGAGCAGUUUGUUCCUCUACAUUUUCAACCUGCUUAGUAUCCGUAUCUUUUGGACCAUUCUGCUGCAGAGAAAUUGCUUGUGUGGUUGCGUCUUGCCAGGUAGAUGUUUUGCUAUUCCAAAUGGGAGGAGCUGAUUGUGGAUAGAAAAGGGAUGCCACAGGUGCACCGUUCCAGAAUGGCUGCCCAUCAAAUGUUAGUCCUCCAACAGGAACAGGAAAUGGUACAACUCUAAUGGGAGGUUGGUUUGUUUCCCUCUUGUCUUGAGAGGGAGUUUUGGAAUCUCCAUUUUUGUUUUCAAGAUCUAUAUGUGUUGCCGAGGUGCUGCAUGCCUGAGCAUCACCAGCAUUAAUGGUAGAUGAUGCUGUCCUGCAGUUGUACCUAUGAACAAGAAAUGAUCGGAAGUGUGAGAUCUCAUAUGUUGGCUCUUGGUAAAACUGUGUAAAGGAGCAAGUUAACCAGUAAGUUAGAUUAUCUAAAUGCACAAAAAGAGAGAUCAUACAAAAAUUUCUGCUACUUCCAUAUUAUUUCAUGUUUUAUUCUAUGCUUGCAAGACCAUACUGUAGCAAAUCAAAGUAAAAUAUGUCUACGCAUGAUGGUAGGUAAAUAAAUGAUGAAAUAUCAAAGACGAUAUUUUUUUUCUGUUAUACCAGUAGGAAAAAUACAUCAACGCGAACAUAACAACCAUGCACAAAUUAGGAAUGACAGAAUAAACGUUACAGUAAGAAACACUUACAAGGAAAAUGGAGAUGAAGUUGAGUGGUUCAGUGUUCUUCGUUCAUUUUUCUCCUGGCUCUCUAAUCUACUGUAGUCAGAUCUUCUGAGAGAAAGUUCUAACUGGUGUGCUGGAAUGGAAAAGCACUUGUCAUCAUUUCCACGGGAAUUUGCUCUCGCAACAUCCAUCUCCAUAUGUGUGUUAUUCUUCUGCUGAUUGUCAAUAAUAUGAACCAGCUCCAUAUCCCUGGAAGCUUUCUCACAAUUAAUAUCAUUUGAACAUGUCAUCCUCCUCAGUGAUGCAUCCUCUUCCCUCCGUGGAAUCAAGUUGCCAUCAUUAGAUGCUGCAAAACGAGGAGGAGGUAAUAUCAGGAAAAAAAAUGCAUUCAAAAGAUAAUUGAUGAUAUGACCACUUUCAGUGUAGAAGAAUGAUAUGGAAAUAACAGAGAAAAGAAUGAAGGAUGUUUUAUUACCAUGAAUUUUAGUCCCUCCAUUUUUCUCGGUGUUCUUGUGGUCAGGCUUGGAGAAAUGCCUUCCCAUUGGCUGCUUAUAUUCCAGUAAAUUGUUGGUUUGCCUACUGUCAGCCUCCAGUUCUGACCUUGUACAUGAACUCUGCAAGAGGGGAUCCAAAAUUCAGUCCACGAACAACAGCGAACAGAUCUGAACUCAGCAUAAUAACGACAGUCCCUACUGCUAAGGAUAUAAAGACUAUGCAGUAUGAUGUCUUGAAGACAAUAACAUGCUACAGAUUCAGUUCAAGUGUGUAACAUCAAAUAUCCAGUACUUGAAACAAACAAGUAUUCCGUAAUAGGCUUUAUCAAACUGUUCGUGUGGACCGUAUUCUGAUCCUGCAAGCAGCCAAAAAAACUUACCUUACUGUUGUCAUAUGUACUCCAUUUUGCAAUACCCAAGAGGACCGAACUGUGACAUUUCGCUGACAAGAAAAUACUAUUCUCACUCAAAACACAGUUCCAUUACCCACCUGACUUGAAAAAUUGAUAAAUUAGUUCACCAACAUUGAUGCAGAUCUGAAGGGCUAAAUACAUCUUUUGCAUGAAGUAAUACCAUUUUUAUCGUGUGGGUAAUGAAACUGCUUUUGGCCAAAACAUCAGGUGAUGGAAGUGUUACAGUUCGGUCAUAGCUGGGCAAUGCAAAAUGAUACAGCACAAAUCCCAUACGUGGCUAAUGAUUGAAAUUUUGUACGCAAGACUAUCUUUGGGCACACAUGAGCAGGAAGAAGAAAGAACAGGUAGACAACGUCAUGUUAACUGAUUCUAAAACUUACUUGAGCAUCACUUUCUUGUUCACUGCAUUCCAUGUUCUUGUGGACAACAUUUUCAGUCACAUGUUCAGCUUUCGUCACUCCGGUCUUCUGCUCAUGCCUUUCUGUAAGAUUAUCUUCUUGUUGAGUAUGCUGCACAUCAAGAACACCGCUGGACUGUAAAACAGAGUAAUUGAAGUUUGUUGAUUAGUUUUGUGAAAAAUGCAGAAUCCAAAUUUUAAUAUAUAAAAACGAGAAAGCAAAUGUAGUCAUGCUAAAACGUUGCAAAUAUGUGAUCUUACCAGUUGUUUUCUCCAAACAUGCUGCCAUAAGUUCCUUAAUUCAUUCUUCCGUAUUGGCUUAACAAGGAAAUCUGCAGCACCCUUUAGCAUGCAUUUGAAAACCAUGCUAACGGAAUCAUUUGAAGACAUCACUGAGACCAAUAGAAAAAUGAAGCAUCAGAUGGAGUAAUGGGAUUAGAAAGAUAUGAGAAAGGCAUGGCAUAGAGUCAAGUUGGAUACAUACUUAUGACGGGGAUAUUCUUGCAUGCGUCAUGUUCCAUGAUCGUGGAGAGCAGCAGGAACCCAGACAUCAAGGGAAGUUCAACUUCAGUUAAAACAAGGUCUAUAUUGAAAGAUUUUUCCUUUAGUAUGUCCCACGCUUUCACACCAUCAGAGGCUGCGGCAACUGCAAGACCAAAUAUGUUGCAUAAGAUCGACGAAAAACACAAUAGUAUAAUUUAACCAAGAUCCCAGAGAAUACGCGAACAAACCAAGAGAUCAAAAAAGAAGGAACGUGCCUAAAUAACUGUACUUUAAAAUAAAUUUGCUUUUUUUUUGUUUUAAAAGAGGAAACUGCAUUUUUCAGCUCUAACUCUGUCCCAAAAAAGGAUCAAAUAUACAGGUAAACAUUUUGCUUCAGGAAAAAAACAAAUAUACAUGUGUAGUUAUUUCAAUUUAACACAAGAUACGAAAUGGAUCGUUAAAAUACAGCUAUAUUUUUUUCGAAAAAAAAAUGAUAUUCGGUAAUGCCUCAACUUAGGUAUUCCUGACGAAUAGGCUGCACUACACCAAAUUUCGUCUACUGAAGCAGCUCUGGCAAAAUAAAGAAAAAGAGACAGAUAGCAAGGAAUUACAACUACAGACCAAAAUCAGCAUAUUGAUUAACAUAUCUUCUGAAAAAAAAAACAGAUCACAAAUCGUCACAUCCCAAAUCUCCCCACUUGAGGUCUAAUCCAGUAAAAUCAGCUGCCACGUAGUAACAGUUUUACAGCGCAGAAACAUCCGCAACUUUGCAACUUCACUAGUGAGAUUAGCCACUCGUGACAACAAUUCGAGCAAAAAACAAUGAACAAAAGCAGUCAACCAAUUUAACCGGAUCAAAAACAAACUGUGCGGCACAGACGCUCACCUCGAUACCCGCACUUGCGGAGCAGCGCGCAGAUGAUGUGGCGCGUGGAGUCGUCGCCCUCAGCGAGCAGCACCCGCACCGGCAUCCUCGGCAGCAUCCGCGUCUCCCUGCUCGACCCCGCCGCCACCGCCGCCGCAUCCUCCCCUUCCUCCCCGUCCCCGUCCUCCAAGUCCACCACCUUCCUCUCCUCCACUCCACCCCCCAUUCCCCCGCCGCUAGCUCCGCCCCUCGCCCCUCCUCGCCGGAGUCGCCCGCGGCGGUAACUACCCUUUCACCGCGCAAGGCGCAACCACCUCUCCUCCUCCUCUCUCUCUCUCCUCGAGCUCGCCACUAGGAAAAUGGAUUGGUUCGUGGGUUCGCGAAAACCAAAUGCCAGUGUGGGCGACACGACAAAGCCGAAGCGGGGGGAGGAGGCGUGUGUAUAUACCCCCACACCACCACACAGGCAACUCCCCGUCACCGACACGUGGGCCAGUCAACCAGAGGGACCCACCCGCCAGUGGGCGAGCGAGGCGAGGCGGUGGCGGGUGGGGGUGGGAGCACGUGAGCGAGCUCCGCGCACGAAAUAUCUGUACUACACUCGACCGGUGGGCGGGGCCGCCACGUCACGCGCGCGGGCUGGGCCCCACGUUGACGUGGCGUGCGCGGCGUCAGUGGUUGGGAUAUUUCCGUUUCCCCCGCGAGAUCGCGACGAGGAGCCGAGGGCUCUCGAGGCCGAUAUUUUCUCUCGCGGGAGGGACACGUGGUAGGCCCGGAGGAAAAGGGGACCAAUCUUGCGGCCGCGCGGGACGACACGUGGCGGGUGGCGAGGCUAGGGGAUUGUGGGGGAGAUCGUGUGGCUGGGGAUGGGCGCGUGGGCCUCCGCUUUGUUUAAUCGUGCGGCUGGGGAUGGGCGGGGUGGGCCCGGGUGUAGCGGUGCGAGUUUUUUUUUUUUUUUGGGGGGUGGGCUAGUGGUUGGCGUUUCGUGCGGUCCACGAUAAUAUCUGGGCGGGUGGGGACUCGUGGUGGAGGAUAAUUAGCGUGGAUUAAGUAUGGUUUAAGGGCGGUGGAAUGGAAUGGGUUUAGUGUGGGUUGGAAAUAUCUAAUUGACUCAUUUGACAACCUUUGACACCGUGAGCGAGCCCGUGACGGAUGUGAAGAUAUUUGUCAGGAGGAUUCUGGAAGCGUUAGGUUUCCUCCUUAUAAUUAAUCAUACAAGUUGCAAAGCAAAAAAUAUUCGCUAAAUUUUAUGAUUCCUUAUCACCCACAUAUUAAUAGUACUAAUAUAGUGUUGUGGUAAUUGGCAAAAUUACGUAGCUUGUCAUAUUAAGUUGUCGGUACUCAGUAGUAAUAUUGUGAAUGCAUGCUUUUUAUUUUUUUUAGGGAAAAUUGUGAAUACAAACUAAAGAGUGGUUGUUUGUUGAGAUGGGCAGACGGGGUGCAAAAAAGAAUGGACGAGGUUGAUUCGACCAAGUGUUGGCCUACAUCAACCAUCCGUGUGUCUGUGUCCUCCAUGGCUCCAUGCACCAUCAACACCCACACACACCCACACACACGCAAAAAAGAGGUAGUACACUAGUAGUACUACUCCAUAUAGGAGUAGCACACUAGUAGCACUAGUGAAAACAACUUUUCGAACAAGCCGAACAAUAUACACUCGCCCGAAGAAUAUCCAAAUUCCGCCAACACACAUCCUGCGCCACGAGGUCCGAUUCGAUCCACGUCGAAUAAUGCCGCAGCUGUACUCCACUUACACAUUGUUAAGCUACAAUUACCACAAACAGUACAGUAAUACUACAUAUAGUAGUAGUACGUAACAUUGGCUCUGUCCGCUAGAUAUUUCCAGGCUCCAACCGACGAAGAGACGAGGAGUCUUAUCGGUUGUCCAUAUUUUCUAAUAAAUUAUUUUGAUUUAUUAUAAAAAAAUAAUAUAUAAUUAAAAGUUUUAUAUAUUUGUUCAUAACGACGUAAAAGGUAACGUUAAAAAAAUUACAUUGAAAAUAUUUUAAAAUCAAGUUUGAAAAUUAAAAUUUUAGCUUUUAUUUUGAUUUAUUAGAGCAAGUUUAAUAGUAUAGCCAGCUACUAGCUCCAAUUCAUUUAUAGCCAAUCUAAUAGCUCAUUCAUAUAAUACUUACAUACUGCCCUAUUAAUACAUGGUCCCACCUAUCAUAUACACACUGCGUCUUGGAGUCUAUAUUACAGCUGGCUAUAAAUCUGCAGCCCACUACCCUUCACUCUUCUUAUUUAUCUUCUUAAAAUAUAUUUGCAGCUGGCUUAUAAGCUGCUAUUUACCUGCUCUUAGGAUAACCGAUGGAGCUAGAGACAAGUGGCGGCGACCGCAUGCCGUGGAUAAUCCACGGGCCAUUGGCCGUUUCGUUGCAAUGAUGCUGCCUCGUUGCCGAGAGGAGGAGACAGAUAGACCGGCUCGCGUCGCGGCUGUUUUGUGUGGUGGUAGUCGUCGGUGGUGGGGUCGGCGGGUCUCGCUCGCUUCCGAAACAACCCACUUGGCGUGGCCGGGCGUGGCCGGCCGCCCCAUGUUUCUGAGCCUCCAAGGUAGGACUCGAUCGAUCGAUCUCACGGGAACCAAACUGACCGGAUGACAUGGCACGCCAUCUCGCUAAAUAUCUUGACGGACUAACAACGCUCGCCGUUGGAUGCAUGGUAGUAGCAAACUAGUUAGCUGCUACCAGCCAUCUUUUAUUCUUUUUGGUUGUUAUCGGCAUAAUUUUUUUUAAUGUCUAGUAAUAUCAAAAAUAGGCUAAAUGCAUUGUUGCAAAAAAAGUAUUACUGAUAUUUGUAACAAAUUAAAUGCAUUCGUAUAUUUGUCAAUUUUAUCUUAAAAAUGGUAUGGUCCAAAAUGACAUCAACUGAACAGGUUGUUGGCCAAAAUUUAAAUUUUAAGUUUUAAUUUUGUAAUUGAUUUUUAAGUUUUUUUUGUUACAGGUUAUUUUUUAUAAUGAUUUUUCAAAUUAAUAUAUUAUUUAUAAAUUGUUUUUCGAAUCUCUAAUAAGUAUUACGGCUUAUUUUUUUUGAAAGGACAGUAUUACGGCUUAUUAACAAAGCGAAAUGACUUGCCACAAAGUUGCAAGCAACAAUAUCGCAAUAUUCGUGGGGCACUAGCUACAGUACAGUAGUUAUAAAUGGACAGAUGGGGGGUCGAGUUCACGUGGCGCGGCAUGGCGCGGCAUAAACCUGUCUACGAAUUUGAUGACCUUCUUGUUGUUGCUGCUAGAGAAGUCAUGCAUCUAGGAUAGUACUGGAUGCAGAGAUAUUUUGAAACUGUGUGCGCCUCUGCUUUUCGUCGCUGGGGUCGCCGAUUCGGGCGGUGGAUCGAUGACUGGUUGACGGUUGGGUGCUGUAGCUAUAACUUGGGAGGGCAAAAUGGUGGAUUAAUUGGAUGGCUAGUUUUUCUCCUUGUGGAUGGGGGCUGGACCGCUGGAACGCUGGAUGGAUGGACCAAACAUAUGGCCAAGCACGCGCGCGUGCGACACGCUCGACGACGGCCGCACGAUCCGCUAGUGGCCGCGGUCCGCGAUGGUGGCGCACGGACCGCCCGUGCAAAUCGCCGGGAAAUAUCUUCGCGAGCAGAGAGAUAUUUUCGCCUUGAUCUCGAUUACGCACCCCGAUCUUUUUUAUGGUCGAUCUCCAGGCUGUCUCUCAGUCUCUCGCGUGUUAAUUUGGAGUGAGUACGUGUAAAGCCAUUUUUUUCCGCGCUAUGGCCAGGCUCGCAGCGGACGUCCACAUCCACAGCCUCGAUCGCGAUUCGCGCAGCAUGGGUUGUGUUUGGUUGGUUUUGCAAGGGUGGCAUGUGCCGUGCUAGAAUCGGACAUUCCGCAAUGAGACCGACGAGAGGGAGAUCGCUCGAUCGAUCGAUCAGUGAAAGGUGCUUUAGCUAGCAUAGCAAGCGAUAGCUAAGCAGGCACAGUGGUUGCCCGACCGGUUCGGCGAGAUACUACUGUACAAGUGGAUGAUCGAUCGAGCAGCUCGCGGGCGAGACGAAGCUCGCGGGCGAGACGAACGACAAGUGAAGCGGCCGUGGCCACUAGCUGUAGCUUUUACUAGCUCGUUCUCUUCGUGAUCUCUUUGGGUGGAUCGAUUGAAACGUGGGGACGGAGGAAGGUCCCCAUCGUUUUCUCUAAUAUAGCAUUGCUAAAUUUUGUUUUUUUAGACUUAAUUUUAGUUUUUUUAUCGAGAUUUAUUUUUUAAUAAUGGUAUACAAGUCGCUAGGUACGUAUAUAUAAAAAUCUACCUACAAAAUUAUUAUUAUUAUUACUAAUACGUUGAAUGACGUAUGUGAUGAGGACGGAGAAUGCUGUGUUGUUGGAGGAAGUGUGGUGUGGUUGCUCCACGCGUGCACCGGGCGUUCUCCUUUCUCCGGUGAUACGUAUACACCCAACUAGGAGGCAAAAAUAUCUUUGCUAGGUCUGCGUGGCUGCAGUUGACAAGUCCUAGAUUUUUUCGAAAUAUCUUCUCGAUCGGUCUACAGUUCUGUGGGUGGGGACAGCUUCCUAGAUAUCCGGCAGAGCACUACUACUAUUAUCCUACCUGAUGCAACCAUCUGGCUGCUGGCCACAUAUACUCGGGUGUACAUGCGUGUGGUUAUGGAUCGAUAUAAUCAUUUCAGGAUCACUCAUCAGUUAAGGUUAGUGGUGUGUUGCCGCGGGCUAUUAGAAUUUAGAACUUAGAACUUAUAAACACUUCAAUGAAUGACUGUCACAGUUCGAUGAUGUGACUAUAUAUGGCCGUGUUCCUCCCUCAUUAAGAUGUAGAUUAUACCUUAGAUUUUGUCACCAUGUUUUUUAACUGCUAAACAACGUGCUUGGUACGAAAAACUUUCUAUACAAAAGUUAUAUAAUAUAAAAUAAUUUUUAAGUAUGUAAUAAUUAAAACUUGAUAUUUUUACUAGUUAAUAAUUAAAACUCGAGUAAUCAUGCGUUAAUGGUUUUAUCGUUUUACGUGUGCACUUAAACUUCAUUCUUAUUGCACACCACUUAUAUAUGAAAUCUCAUUUUUAAUAAUUAAUAUUGACUGAAUUACAACUAUAUAAAAAUAGAAAAUAUGUGCCGCUCUAGCUGAUUUUCUUAUGUGAUCAAUCAUAAAAUUCAGAUAUAAGAUACCAUAUGAUGUCUUGAAAAAGAUAUUACGAACUCUCACCUGUACGCUAUCUCCUGAACAAACAUAAAUUCUGUUCAAAUGUGUGUUUUGAGACUAUUUGAAGCCAGCAGCAUCACUCCAUGUUCUCUCUUCCUACUCUCCAUACUUGGGAAGUUGGGUUGAAGUGUGAGGCCGGGAAGAAUUCAAGACAUCAUGGUCCACAGCCCAUAUGAAUGGCCCGAGACAACAAGUAGCCUACUAACUAUUAGGCUCCACUUUGGGCCAAGCCCAUGUUUUGUUGGGCCGGAGCCUACACCAGUACACCACCAUCUUCCUCGUUCGGUUCCCAUCUCCCAGUUCGAGCCCACGCCAUCACGGCCGCGCCGAUGCUCCCGUCGCCACCGGCGCCGCCGCCGAUCUCGCCGGCGCGGCUGCACAAGCUCGUGACCUCCCAGCCGGACCCGCUCCUCGCGCUCGAGCUCGUCACCGUCACCGCGCCGACCACCGCGCCCCACCCGUCGACGCUCCACGCGCUCGCGCUCCGCCUCUCCCGCCGCCGCGAACACCUCCCCCACGCGCUCGCGCUCCUGCGCCGCCUCCCGUCGCCGCCCUCCCCGCGGAUCCUCCUCCCGCUGCUCCUCUCCGCGCUCCGCCUCCGCCGGCAGCCUCACCUCUUCCUCUCCACCUUCAACUCCCUCUUCGUCUCCGGCUCCAGCCCGUUGCCGCUCCACCCCGAGCUUCUCCUCCGCCUCCUCUCCGUUCUCUCUUCCACCGCUUCCUACUUCCCGUGCGCGCUGCACCUCCUCCGCGACGUCUCCACCCGCCUUCCCCUCCCCGAGCCGCUCGUCCUCGCCUCGCACAACCUGCUCAUCGAAGCCGCCGCCCGCUCCGGCCACCUCGCCGUGUCAAUCUCCCUCUUCCAUCGCCUCCGCUCCCUCCAUGUGUCUCCCAACGCCGAGACAUACCGCAUCCUGACCCAGUCACUAUGCCGCAGGGGCCAGGUCCGCACUGCAGCCAACCUGCUCGACGAAAUGCUCCACAGGGGCAUCCCUGCUGACCCACUGGCAUACACCACCGUGCUGAACGCGCUCUGCCGUAAGAAGCAGCUUCGAGAGGCUUACCGCUUGCUGUGCCUCAUGCGAGGCCGUGAGGUCUCACCUGACAUUGUACAUUACAACACGGUCAUCGUCGGAAUGUGCCGUGAGGGACGGCCACUGGAUGCCUGCAAGGUGUUCAGAGAUAUGAGGGAGAGUGGGUGCGCGCCAAAUGCGGUGGCAUAUACUGCGGUGGUCAAUAGGUUGUGUGUGAGUGGAUUAUAUGACAAGGCAGAGGCAUACCUUGAUGAUAUGUUGGGCAAAGGGUUACUACCACAUUUCUCUGUGUUCCAUUCAGUGAUUAAGGGAUGCUGUGCAGUUGGGAAGGUCAAUGAGGCUGCAGGGAUGAUGACUCGAAUGCUUGAUCUUGGAAUGGUUCCACAUGCUGAGACCUGGAGUUCAGUGAUCAGGAGUGUUUGUAGUGAUGAGGAUAAUGUCGAGGUGGUUUUGUUGCAAGUGAUGAAAGGAAUAAAGCACCUCUCAAACAUAAAUUCAAGGAGUACUUGGACAUGAUAUCAUGUGGCAUGGAUGCAAGGAACACCUAUUUUAUGGUGUGUUGUAACAAUCAGUUUUGAAAGGAAACAGUAGAUGAUGUGCAAAAUGUGGACCACAACCAUUUUUCUCAUCGUAUGCAGCUAAUUUGAUAUUUGAGUUUAUUUGUUUAUAUGCAGGUUAGGAGAUAUUGUCUGACUUCAACUAAGGUAUGCUAUCCUAUUGCAAGAAAAAAAAAGUUAUCGCCCUUAAUUAAUGUGAUUCAUAUGAUUGUUUUGGUAGUACAUUUUGAAGGUUGAUUCUGAAUUUCUGAUGCUUGUUAGUUAAAGACCAUACUUUGUUCUACUCUGAAUCCAGUUGAUCAUUUAUACUUUUUCUUAUGCCUCUUCAAUUGUGUGCAUUCGCAGAUCUUAUAAUCUGCCAAAGCCCAAAGAUUUUGGUUCACCUUGGUUCAUGUUUUCUGGAUUUUGUUAGACCCCAGUUCUGUGUACUUUGUGGAAACUAUAAUGUUUUGGCAGCAGGAGCUGACUCAGCUGAGUGAAGGAUCAGCAAUUCAGCAUGGAGAUCAUCUCACGGCAAAUAUGGGAAGCUCACUGGACGUUGGCUGAAUUCCAACUGCUGUUGUCAAGGUGCAUCUGAUCUUCUCACGACAAGCAUACACUAUACAUAUCGUUGCAGGUGCAGACAAAGGUUUUACGACUAUUUGAUUUCCUGAUACAACGCGGCAAAGCUGCUGGGAUCUGGAUGGUUCACUCGCACGGCUUGCUACAUUUUUGUGCACCCACUGACCUCGUCGUACUUGCCGUGCCCGGUGGUAUCCUCUCCCUGUGACUGCAUAGGUAGUGCGGUACUGCCUCAGAGAGUUUUGUGUGCUGAAGUAGAGAAAUUUUUGUAAUUCUAUUUUCACUGGGUGAUGUACCUUUCAAGAAUUCAAAAUUACCAGCGAUUACCGGUAACAGUGGCCAUGCUAUGUACUAUGAGUCUAUCUUGUAUAGACUUAGAACAAGCCCCCCUUCAUUCAGGAGAUAAAAAAAUGAUGGAUUCUUGAGAUUUUAGAUUUAAAAAAUGAUUAUGUACACGUAUUGGAAAUGCAAACGUGUAAUCGUAUUGUACUGAUUAUGUAAUGCCAUACGGUGUCCAUUGACAUUUGCUUAUUCACUCUGGACUACUCGUUUCGUGCUGAAUCAUUUGCGCCUAAUUGAUUAGGCCAUGUCUAAAUUUUGAUACAAAUUCCUGCUAAUUUCAGAAGAGAAAAAAAAAGUGGUCAUGAAUAGGGUUUACCAAACCGAAGUGGUCAUGAAUAGGGUUUACCAAACCGUUUUCAGUGGGUUACUAUCCUCGCUCGAUUUGACGGUUAUCACAGUAACUACCGUGGUUUAAAACUGAAAUAUUUACCGCACGUGAUAGCCGGGCGAUAACCGUGCGGUUUGUAUGCGUUUCCUCCUGCGGCUCUGUUUCGUUGCGGGGGAGCCCCACCGGCCCACGGCGCGGGAUCACCGCCGCCACAGAAACCUCCAUAGAGAUCUCCGAGCAGCCGUCCUCCGCCACAACUUUCGCCAUGGUGGCGCCCUAGCCCCGCGCUUCUUAUCCCGCCCCACCUAUGGCUGCUGCUGCUGCCGCUGCCGCCGCCACACUCCUCCCAUGGCUCUCCUCGCGCUCCGCCUCGGCCACCACCACCACCACCUCGGCCUCUCCGCCCCGCGCGACCCCCGCCUCCUCCUCCGCCGGAGGCUCGUGGUCGCCAGCUCCGGUGCCGUGAAGGCCCCCGCGGCCGCGGCGGUCGUGUGGUUCAAGCAUGACCUCCGCGUCGACGACCACCCGGGCCUCGCCGCCGCGGUGGCUGCCGAGCCGCGCCGGCCCGUCCUGCCGCUCUACGUCUUCGACCGCCGCAUCCUCGACGGUACGCUGCUACUACUGCGCUUGCUAGCCCCUUGCAGCAAAUGUCUCACUGAGCCACUGGUUUUGGAAUGCCCGGGGGCUGUGGGAAGUGUGUGCGAUGUGUUCGACACAAUGUCUUACGGAUCGCGCGGUGGUUUGAUCGGACGCUUGCACUUUGGUGUUUACUGUGUACUGUCUCUCGCGUGCCCGGUAACCUGGCUACGUUUUUUUUUUUUGCUACGUUUGUGCAAAAUCUAGUGACUUUGAUGCCAGGAUUCGUGGUUUUGUAGAAAUGUGCAGUAAACCGAAGUCGUAGGUUUUUUGGCUGCCGAAUCAAAGUGUAAGCUGUGGAUUGGUUGUAGUGCGGGAUGAUACUUUCUGGUUCUGCUAAUUCAGAAAUUCCCUAGCAUAAAAGUGAAACAUAUGGUUUGCCUUAAAAUAGACGCUAGUAAAUGGAGAGAACAACUGCUUUUCAGUCCCAACUUCUUGAGGAGACCUGCACCUCCACUAUCUGGUAUGUGCCAGAUCAUGAAGGUUUUGAUUGGAAUGGACGAGAUCAAGGGUGUGUUUUAUCAAGUCAUGCUGUGGAAAUGGGUAUCAGAAUCUGAUGUUAACAUUCAUAUACAAGUAACAGCGUGCAAAGUUAUACUGUAAUCUGUAUUAUGCAGUGCAAGAAUCCCAAGUAAUCACACUGACAGUUGGCAUUGACAUUAGCCUUUUUAUCCUUUGCAGGUUACUCAGACACGAUGCUGGAACUGCUACUUUUUGCUUUGGAAGAUCUUAAGAUGGUUUUGAAGUCUCAGGAGUCUGAUCUUCUCAUAGGCUUGGGAAAUGCUGAAGAUGUUGUUCUCAAGCUUGUAAAUGAGGUCACUAUGCAAGGUUUAUGUUGAGAAUUGAGCUUAAGAGUUUAUGCAAACCUUCACUGCUAGCCAUCUAACAUAUCCAGAUCUCCUGAUUGCAUGCAUUGAUGGAGCAUAACAGGUACAAGCGGGCCUCAUUUUCACAGAAGAGGAAGUUGAGUACAGAGUGCGCAAUGUUCUGGCCAGUGUUGAAUCAUCUCUCUCUAAUGCAUCAUUCCUAUCGGGAAACCCUCCUGAGAUAGUGGUUUGGAGUGCCUCAUUGUAUGACUACAAGGUAAUUUUGUAUCUCAGGUUAUCAUUCCCUAUUGCUAUCCUCUAGCAACCUAAUUAUGUUUGGCAUGCUAAAAUCAUUCCACCAGAAUCCGAGGGAAUUGUCAACAUCACACAACCAAUUUUUGAAGGAAAAAUUACCGAUGAACACACCUCUUGCUGCCCCGUCUUUACCUGCUCUGAACAUAGAGAUAGAGACAGGUGUAUUUCAGUUCUCUUUUUUUUUUGGUUAGUGAUUAUAUCCUUGAUCAUUUUUGGUGUGUGCAUUAUGAUACCAUGACAAUUUCCUGUUCAGGUUCUCUCCCCACACUGGAAGAACUAAAAGGGUUUCUUAAAGAGAGUAGAACGUCAGAGAAUAAUUGGGUUCCUCUCAAGGGCACAUCAGCCAGAUCUAUUCUUAAAAAGACUCUCAGCCAGAUAAAUGUCAAAACCGGUGUUGCAUCAAGUGGCAGCGAUGGAGGAGAGGAUACCACUGCAUAUUAUGCUAUGUCAGGGAGGAAGAUCCAAAAUUCAAUGUUCACAUCAGAAAGCUCAACAGAAGUUAGAGGUGGAACGGAAAUCACUUUGGAUGCUUUAGCUGCAUACCUGAAAUACCUAGAAGGAACAGGGAAGGCUAGUUGGCAAGAGUACGUCGCACCACUUCUUUUUAAAAUCUAAUUACAUUCAGCACUAUUGGUAUGUUUGUAACUUUGUAUUUGAAAAUGUUGCCUAGCUCAUAAGGUAAAUGCAGUCUAUGAUGUCAUAUCAGUCAUCAAUGAUUUUUCUGAUAACAGGCUUUGUUUAAAUUUCAUAUCCAGGUUGCAUGAUAAAGUACGGUUAACUGAAACUAGAGAUGGUGCCUCGUUUUGCACUUUGUUUGGUCCUGCACUUCAGCUUGGAGUUAUAUCCAAGAGGAGAGUUUACCAUGAAACUAUUCAGUAUGAGAGAGACCGGAAUGCUGGAUUUAUAUCACCAUUUGGAUACUCAACACCUACAGUGACAGCAGCAGUAGAUGCUAUCUGUUCAAUGGAGGUACUUUUGUAACUGUCCUGUUCUCAAAACCAUUCGUCCAUACCUUUUCCUCCUCUUUUCGGUGAUCUUGUUUUCCUCUAACAAUGUCUUUCUGAACAUGAAAGUGGUAUUGGCUCUUGGCCUUGAAAUCCCAAGUAUGCAUUGAAGGAAAUUACCCUGUCAGAAUCUGGAGAUGGAAAGGUCAUCUUAUACAGGUACUAUUAGUUAACUUCAAGAUCCACACUCUCUAUCUCUACUGCAUCAGAAACCAUAACUUAUCUAUGUAACAGGAAUCAUGUCAAAUGCAAGUAGUCCUAGAAUUGGAUAUAAUUACAAUCAGCAAUGUUAGUCGUUAAAAUGAAUUGUGAUGGCUUGGUCAACCACUAAAAAGGACCAAUGUAUUAUCCUCUGAACUAUUCAUCUUUGCACUUGGAUCCUUCCACCUUCUGGUUGCCGAUACAGACCCCUAGAUAGGUAAGCAUAAAACAUUUUCUUCUAUCCCAUAUUAGUAUCUCUGAAACUAACUAGGAUUUCAGCUGAACCAUUUAAAAGUUCCAUCCAGCAGGGCAGCAGCUCUUCUUCCAAGCCCAUAUUUUUUACUGUAGAAAGUUGGAAAAUCUUGUGUCCCGGUUCCCAUGUUUUUGUUUUAUUUGAUUGCCAGGCCUUGACAAAGUUCUGCUUUGUAUGGACUGUAUAUCGGUAUUAGCGUUGUGUUUCUAUAUAAUUAACACAGUUUUUGUUGUUAGUCUAUUGCAUGAAUGCUAUCAAAUAUCAAUAUACACAACACCUAAUAUGCUAGUAUAGACCCCUGUUUCUGAUGACAUCAUAUUGUUUUUAUGAUUUUUUUAGUUCUAUGUAAUGCAUCAUGUAUUCAAUGUACUUGUUUUCCGCUUCCUGUAUUUCCUGUGCAGCUAAGUUCCUAAUUUAAUUGUUUUGAAACAUGUAUUGGCAGUAUACCUCUGUUGGUCAUGAGGGUCCUUCGGUUCUUCUUGUGCAUGGAUUUGGAGCUUCCCUACAGCAUUUUCGUGAUAAUAUAGGUGCCAUUGCUGAUCAGGGAUGCCAAGUUUGGGCAAUUACCCUUCUUGGCUUCGGGAAAUCAGAGAAACCAAAUAUCAACUAUUCAGAACUUUUAUGGUCGGAAUUACUGAGAGACUUCAUUGUUGAUGUUGUGAAGGAGCCUGUUCAUCUUGUUGGUAACUCAAUCGGAGGUAUAUUUUGAUUUAUAAAUCUUUCGACGUUUCUGGGGGUGAUGGGCAACACAUCGUUUACCCAAAACAACCUUAAUUAAUUCAUUUCUUCAUAAUAUUGUCAGGUUAUAUCUGUUCUAUUACUGCCAGCUUAUGGCCUUCUCUUGCAAGGUCUCUGAUCCUUUUGAAUACAGCUGGUUCAGUUGUGCCAAGUUACUCUUUUAUUCCAUUAAGUGAAGUAAGGCGACCAGCAUUCACUGAAACUGUUCUACAUUUGAAUUAUUUUAGCUAGUACAUCUUAUCUGAAUGAUACUCAUAGGUCAAAGACUUACUAAUAUUGCAUUAGUAACAGUGGCACUGGUUAGUGGCUAUAUGCUUGUUAUAAAAAAAAUGAGUGGAAAUAUUGUAUCUUAUUAAAUGUCUGAGGCAUUGUAUUCACAUGGGCUCUUUCUCAUACAUUUUCGUGUUACUUUAGACUUAGGACGAUUGAAAAUAUGCACACUAAAAUCUCAGCAGUUCUUUUUGGCUAACCUAGCGCAAGCUCCUCUCUUGUAGAAACUGUUGUAUCAUUCAAAUGCAAUGUGCAUGUUAUUUCUAGUUUGUUGGAAUUAUUAAAGCAUUUAAAACUCUGAAUAGUAGCAUAGAUAAGGCUAACAAUUUAAUGUUUCAGAUACAUAUCUUUUGUGCUUAUAUCAACCAGUGUUUGUGGAAUGAUAAUCUGACAGCAGCAAAAAUAAAUCGUACUAUUUAGGAUCGAAUUUUUAGCACUGGAACUAUAUUACUUCCGCUACAAAUUAACUCAAUGCUACUGAAUGAAAAAUACAAACAGGAAGGACGGACUUCAUGGCUUUCCAGUUUGCAGGCACGCCUCCUUCUGCUCUUCUUGAGGUCAAGAGCAGGAGGCAUUCUUAAGGAAUACUAUCCUACAGUACGUGUAUGAUGUGGUUAUUGCUUCCUCAAAUAUUUAAAUAAUACAUGGUUACUAAGCAAUACCGAAAAAUUCCUGUGCAGAGAACUGAACGGGUUGACAAGCCACUUGUGGAUGAGAUAAUAAGAGCUGUAUCCUCAGAUCACAAAGUAUAUUUAUCAUAGACUUAACCGUUGAUAUAUGCAGUAUAGCCUGCAAUUCUUUUUCCUUGACAGACAAAUUCAGUCAUAUGAUCCUGGCGCAGCAACCGUUAUUGAGAGCAUAUUCAGUUUCAAUCUUUCCAUUCCUCUCAACUUUUUAUUUGAUUCUUUUGGUGGAAAAAUCUUAAUUGUUCAGGUAUUUUCUGAUAUAAAAAAAUGGUGUGGAUUCAUACCGGUACCUAAUUUAGUUACUGCAACAUGCGGAUAGCUAAUACUACCUUCAUGUGCUUUUUUUGGGGAAACAAGGGAAUGAAAGAUCCACUUACAAAAUCCAAGUCAUUUGUUUCCAUGCUUAGGGAGCAUUGCAGCAAGGUCCAUAUUAGAGAGCUAGAUGCAGGUGAAUCUCUCUCUCUCUCCUGUGCGCAAGUUCUCAUUCAUGAACGUCUUCAGGGGUUAGGGGUUACUGAUGUUAGUUUUUUUCUUCUCAUACUGAAAUGUGUCAGGUCAUGCUCCACAUGAUGAAGUUCCUGAUGAAGUGAACUCCUUGCUGUGCGAAUGGAUCAAAGAGACUGGCGCUUAGCCAGCAAUGGAGUUCCAUCCUACUUAGAUGUCUGGUAACCUUAUCCAUUAACUGACUUCUCGAUUAUACUAACUUGAUCGUUGGAAGCAUUUUUUUCUAAGAACUUGAUCCCAAUGUGCCCGUUGACACUUCUGUACUUUUUUUGCUUCAUGUCUUAGGUGGCAAAAAGGAGAUGAAUAUUGAACACUGUACAGAAUUGUAUGUGUAGAUUACUUAUUUACUCUUAAUCUUCAUAUCAUUUUCUGGAAUUUCAAAAUGAAAUGCAAUAUAUGUUGAAUGAAAGGAAAAACAGCAUCGAGCAGGUUUGAUAGCAAGUCGGCACAAGAAGAUGAGAUGCAAUUCGCACUCCUGAUGAACUUUCUGGUGGUUCUUAAAGCUGUUUUUGUUUAUGGACCUAGCUCAAAAUCAACCUUGAACCCUACAUUACAAGAGUUGUCUAAAUCUAAUCAUACAAACUUUUGACCCCAUCGUGCAAGUAAUGUCUAAUCGUGCCACAUUUGUACUCUCUUGUAGUCUUGUUUUAUAUGGCUCGACAUAGAUAGAAGUACAAAAUGAACUAAUAUUUCAUGCCAAUUGGGUGCAUUCUUUCAUCUGUUCCAAAUUGUUUUUCAAGCCAGUGGCUAACACCCUACUAAACUAUUCUCCAGCAAAAUGAAUUAAUAUAACUUUCCAUCGAAGGAAUUUCUUUAGAUGUAUUCUUGAUGGUGAGGCCAUGGAAUCCUGAGUGCCUCGCUUGGGUUAAAUUUUUGGGUGUAGUAGGGGUUCAAUAAACGCUGAACUGGAGUGCAUGCAUUCUGGUGUAUGUUCUUCAGUUUUUUUUUUGAGGGUAGUCAUGUCAAAUUUUCUGGCUAAAAAUGAUGUGUGGUUUGAGAUAUUGCCGAGUUCCUUUGAGCUUCUUUCUUUUCCCAAUUUGUAUACCAUAACAAACUCCAUAGUUUUCACUGUACUGCCUGUUUGGACUCGUAAUGUGCUGUGGAAUUGUAGGAACAGUUUAAAACUCGUGGGCUACUAGCUAAUAUGUUCGGGUAUUUUACUUUUAUUUUCCCUCUUAUAGUAUAGCGAAUGCAACCGAAUCUUUUUUUCAAAAAUGUAUUUCACUUUUCUUUGAAUCAAAUCAAUCCAUCUCUUUUCCUUGUGAUCAGAUUUCUUGUGCUAUUGAAGCCUCUAAAUGCACACACAACACACCGUGUCAAACUUAAACGAAAUCCUGUUUAGCUACACAUACAAAAACAUCCUCCUUAGCAAUAGCAUGGUUUAAUCUCAUCAUCCUGAGUAUGCAUUACAUCAGUGCUGCGUACAAGUUCGAUUCAACGCAAGCUGCCAAUCACCAGAGCCUUUGGAAAGGCCAUGAAACGGCCCUGUCAGUUUGAUUAAUCGAUUAAUAUGAUAUUUUAAAUAACUUUCAUAUAGAUUUUGAAAUAACAAUUUAAAAAUCGUGCACGCGGAACAUGAGGAAGAUGUGUUAAUACAGGCUGCCGAACUAAGCCUAAUAUGUAAAUUAUACCUUAGAUUUUGUUACCACAUUUUUUUUAACUACUAAACAAUGUGCUUUGUACGGAAACUUUCUAUAUAAAAGUUAUAAAAUAUAAAAUAAUUUUUAAGUAUAUAAUAAUUAAAACUUGAUAUUUUUACUAGUUAAUAAUUAAAACUCAAGUAAUCAUGCGUUAAUGGUUUUAUCGUUUUACGUGUGUACACCACUUAUAUAUGAAAGCUCAUUUUUAAUAAUUAAUAUUGAGUGAAUUACAACUAUAUAAUAAUAGAAAAUAUGUGCCGCUCUAGCUGAUUUUCUUAUGUGAUCAAUCAAAUUCAGAUACCAUAUGAUGUCUUGAAAAAGAUAUUACGAACUCUCACCUGUACGCUAUCUCCCGAACAAACAUAAAUUCUGUGUAAAAUGGGUGUUUUGAAAGUUGAAACUAUUUGAAGCCAGCAUCACUAUUCACUCCAUGUUCUCUCUUCCUACUCUCCAUGAGCAAGUUUAAUAGUAUAGCCAACUGCUAGCUCCAAAUCAUCUAUAGCCAAUUUAAUAGCUAAUUUAUACAAUAGUUGCUUACUAUAGAAUUAAUGCAUGAUCCCACCUAUCAUACACACAUUAUGUAAUAGUUGCUUACUAUACAAUUAAUGCAUGAUCCCACCUAUCAUACACACAUUAUGUAAUAGUUGCUUACUAUACAAUUAAUGCAUGAUCCCACCUAUCAUACACACAUUAUGUCUUGGAGGUUGUGCUGCAACUGGCUACAGAUAUAUAGCUCGCUGUUCUUCUCUCUUAUCUUUUAUCUCUUUAAAAUAUAUUUAUAGGUGACUGAUAGUCUGCUAUUGUACUUGCUCUAAUUGGGUAGUUGGGUUGAAGUGCGAGGCCGCAAAGAAUUCAAGACAUGGUCCAGAGCCCAUAUGAAUGGCCCGAGAGAACAAGUAGCCCUCCUAACUAUAAGGCUCCACUUUGGGGCCAAGCCCAUGUUUUGUUGGGCCAAAGCCUACGCCAGUACACGAUCAUCUUCAUCGUUCGGUCCCCGUCUCCCAGUUCGAGCCCACGCCAUCACGGCCUCGCCGAUGCUCCCGUCGCCACCGGCGCCGCCGCCGAUCUCGCCGGCGCGGCUGCACAAGCUCGUGACCUCCCAGUCGGACCCGCUCCUCGCGCUCGAGCUAGUCACCGUCACCGCGCCGACCACCGCGCCCCACCCGUCGACGCUCCACGCGCUCGCGCUCCGCCUCUCCCGCCGCCGCGAACACCUCCCCCACGCGCUCGCGCUCCUGCGCCGCCUCCCGUCGCCGCCCUCCCCGCGGAUCCUCCUCCCGCUGCUCCUCUCCGCGCUCCGCCUCCGCCGGCAGCCUCACCUCUUCCUCUCCACCUUCAACUCCCUCUUCGUCUCCGGCCCCAGCCCGUUGCCGCUCCACCCCGAGCUUCUCCUCCGCCUCCUCUCCGUUCUCUCCUCCACCGCUUCCUACUUCCCGUGCGCGCUACACCUCCUCCGCGACGUCUCCACCCGCCUUCCCCUCCCCGAGCCGCUCGUCCUCGCCUCGCACAACCUGCUCAUCGAAGCCGCCACCCGCUCCGGCCACCUCGCCGUGUCAAUCUCCCUCUUCCAUCGCCUCCGCUCCCUCCAUGUGUCUCCCAACGCCGAGACAUACCGCAUCCUGACCCAGUCACUCUGCCGCAGGGGCCAGGUCCACACUGCGGCCACCCUGCUCGACGAAAUGCUCCACAGGGGCAUCCCUGCUGACCCACUGGCAUACACCACCGUGCUGAAUGCGCUCUGCCGUAAGAAGCAGCUUCGAGAGGCUUACCGCUUGCUGUGCCUCAUGCGAGGCCGUGGGGUCUCACCUGACAUUGUACAUUACAACACGGUCAUCGUCGGAGUGUGUCGUGAGGGACGGCCACUGGAUGCCUGCAAGGUGUUCGGAGAUAUGAGGGAGAGUGGGUGCGCGCCAAAUGCGGUGACAUAUACUGCGGUGGUGAAUGGGUUGUGUGUGAAUGGAUUAUAUGACAAGGCAGAGGCAUACCUUGAUGAUAUGUUGGGCAAAGGGUUACUACCACAUUUCUCUGUGUUACAUUCAGUGAUUAAGGGAUGCUGUGCAGUUGGGAAGGUUAAUGAGGCUGCAGGGAUGAUGACUCGAAUGCUUGAUCUUGGGAUGGUUCCACAUGCUGAGACCUGGAGUUCAGUGAUCAGGAGUGUUUGUAGUGAUGAGGAUAAUGUCGAGGUGGUUUUGUUGCAAGUGAUGAAAGGAAUAAAGCACCGCUCAAACAUAAAUUCAAGGAGUACCUGGACAUGAUAUCAUGUGGCAUGGAUGCAAGGAACACCUAUUUUCUGGUGUGUUGUAACAAUCAGUUUUGAAAGAAAACAGUAGAUGAUGUGCAAAAUGUGGACCGCAACCAUUUUUCUCAUCGUAUGCAGCUAAUUUGAUAUUUGAGUUUAUUUGUUUAUAUGCAGGUUAGGAGAUAUUGUUUGACUUCAACUAAGGUACACUAUCCUGUUUCAAGAAAAAAAAAAGCUAUUGCCCUUAAUUAAGCAUGUAGCGCUAUUGAUAUUGAGUUCUAGCACUGUUUUGGUAGUACAUUUUGUAUGUAGAUUCUGAAUUUCUGAUGCUUGUUAGUUAAAACCAUACUCUGUUCUAGUAGUAAUUUUCAAAUACAUUUACUCUGAAUCGAGUAGAUCAUUUACUUUUUCUUAUGCCUCUUCAAUUGUGCUUUCCUGUAGCUGCAACGGCAGCACCCAGAUUCUGCAUUCGCAGAUCUUAUAAUCUGCCAAAGCCCAAAGCUUUGAUGCCAGGAUUCGUGGUUUUGUAGAAAUGUGCAGUAAAAACCGAAGUCGUGGUUUUUUCGGCUGCCGAAUCAAAGCGUAAGCUGUGGAUUGGUUGUAGUGCGGGAUGGUACUUUCUGGUUCUGCUGAUUCAGAAAAGUGAAACAUAUGGUUUGCCUUAAAAUAGACGCUAGUAAAUGGAAAGAACAACUGCCUUUCAGUCCCAACUUCUUGAGGAGACCUGCACCUUUACUUAUGUGGUAUGUGUCAGAUCAUGAAGGUUUUAAUUGGAAGGGAUGAGAUCGAGGUGUGUUUUAUCAAGUUAUGCUGUGGAAAUGGGUAUUAGAAUCUGGUGUUAACAUUCAUAUACAAGUAACAUCGUGCGAAAUUAUACUGUAAUCUGUAUUAUGUAGUGCAAGAAUCGCAAGUAAUCACACUGGCAGUUGGCUUUAACAUUAGCCUUUUUAUCCUUUGCAGGUUACUCAGACACGAUGCUGGAACUGCUACUUUUUGCUUUGGAAGAUCUUAAGAUGGUUUUGAAGUCUCAGGAGUCUGAUCUUCUCAUAGGCUUGGGAAAUGCUGAAGAUGUUGUUCUCAAGCUUGUAAAUGAGGUCACUAUGCAAGGUUUAUGUUGAGAAUUGAGCUUAAGAGUUUAUGCAAACCUUCACUGCUAGCCAUCUAACAUAUCCAGAUCUCCUGAUUGCAUGCAUUGAUGGAGCAUAACAGGUACAAGCGGGCCUCAUUUUCACAGAAGAGGAAGUUGAGUACAGAGUGCGCAAUGUUCUGGCCAGUGUUGAAUCAUCUCUCUCUAAUGCAUCAUACCUAUCGGGAAACCCUCCUGAGAUAGUGGUUUGGAGUGCCUCAUUGUAUGACUACAAGGUAAUUUUUUAUCUCAGGUUAUCAUUCCCUAUUGCUAUCCUCUAGCAACCUAAUUAUGUUUGGCAUGCUAAAAUCAUUCCACCAGAAUCCGAGGGAAUUGUCAACAUCACACAACCAAUUUUUGAAGGAAAAAUUACCGAUGAACACACCUCUUGCUGCCCCGUCUUUACCUGCUCUGAACAUAGAGAUAGAGACAGGUGUAUUUCAGUUCUCUUUUUUUUUUUGGUUAGUGAUUAUAUCCUUGAUCAUUUUUGGUGUGUGCAUUGUGAUACUUGUGGGCUACUAGCUAAUAUGUUCAGGUAUUUUACUUUUCUUUUUUCCUUCUUGUAGUAUAGCGAAGGCAACCGAAUAUAUUUUUUUUUUCAAAAAUGUAUUUCACUUUUCUUUGAAUCAAAUCAAUCCAUCUCUUUUCCUUGUGAUCAGAUUUCUUGUGCUAUUGAUGCCUCUAAACGCACACACAACACAGUGUCAAACUUAAACGAAAUCCUCUUUAGCUACACAUACAAAAACAUCCUCCUUAGCAAUAGCAUGGUUUAAUCUCAUCAUCCUGAGUAUGCAUUACAUCAGUGCUGCGUACAAGUUCGAUUCAACGCAAGCUGCCAAUCACCAGAGCCUUUGGAAAGGCCAUGAAACGGCCCUGUCAGUUUGGUCACCUUCUCCCCUCAAAAAGAACUGAAGCAUUAGCACUCCAUGACAGCAACUGAAGCAUUAAGCACACCAUGACAGCAAUCUGGCCCCCCCUGUUCUGUCUAGAGUGACAUCCUUUCAUGACAGUCACUCAUCAUACAUGCUGGAGUAUGUACUUAUCUAGCAUCCUUUAGCUUUGAUGAUGUAUGUAGAGCCAACCUUCUGAGUGACUUUGCAUGAUAACAAAGCAGCAUAAGUACUUAGAACCAGCAUCAGCCAUUGGUAUUAGUACCUCUUGCCCAUUAUUACAUUUUGUUAUUCUUUAUUUGGUGGCCAUCUCAAAAAUGCUUAAGCAGAGUUCCCAUCAGUGAGGCCAUAAACAAAUUAAAGCUCUGAUUAGGAUUACCCAACCAACCCACCUUAUCUAAGCACAAGCUUUCUUUCACCAGGGCCUUGUCUUUGAGUCUCACCAAACCUGACAGUGACACAAGCAAUUAAUCCUGGCCUCUGAAAUAUGUCAAGUUGCAGAUGACACCAAUUCCUUUUGACAAGUUACUCCUUAUCAUCCCUUCUUCCUUCCUGCCCCCUAAUGAUAGGCUAAGGUCCUAUGCUCAGUAGAUUAUGUAUUAUGGAUUACCACACCACGCUUCCCGAACCCCUAAUGAACGGUACUAUAUGUUUUACAAAAACUUUCUUCAUCAACAGUUUUAAGAAAACCUUUUCAAAUCGACUUAUCAACCAAUAUUUACUUCAUUCAUUUGCAUCCUCAAAUAAUAUGAUCAUAAACUCAAUUUCAGUUUAUCAUCCAUCUUAUGCUAAGAACGCCCUUCAAGAGAUCGUUUACACAAGAGGAGUGAAAGAACAUGUAGUUAGUGAUUGCAGUGAGUAGCAAUCUAAGACCCUAGCUUCGAAUCUUCGUAGGAGCAAAUAUCAUAUUGGAUUGUUUGAGGGGCUAAAUUUUCAAUUUAAAUAACUGUGUAUAUUCGGUUGGAUUAGAGGCCGAAUAAAAAUUAACCAUCUCUAAAAAAAAUAUUUACAAAAGAGGUAAAAAGCAAGCUACUAAUUACUUGUUGCUAUCAAAUGGCCACCACUAGGAGUAGUACUAGUGUACUACUAGCCCUGUUGCUUGCUCUCUCUGCAAUCCUCCUCGGAUUUGUUAAUGAUUCUGUUCUUUUUUUUCAUUUCGCCCUUGUCAUGCCGUCUGAUCACGUGCUGUGAUGGAUGUUAACAAGCUAUUGCUCCUGGGCCACCAGCUCGAUUUUGGCUCUGCUAUCUGCUGCAUUCUCGCUGUCUCCUUCGUGACGCACUCGAUCCCCCUCUCGCCGGCUAGAUUUCUUGGGCAGUUGCUACGCUACCGCCUCGCUCGCCGACGUGUGUGCCGGGCAAAUCGAAAGGCAAGGAUCCCGGCGAGCGCACUCCCGGAUCGGAUGGUGAGAUCUCUCUGGGGCCUUUUUGCAGGGCACACUUGGCAUCUGCUUCUUCUGAUGCGGAUGUUUCUCAUGAUAUUGCGGUAGCUAGAUAUGCAAUUGAUAGUGCAGCGAUAAGGGGUGUAUAGUUUCAACAUCAAGGUCCUAUAUUUAAUUCCAACGCGCUCACAAUUUCUUCUUUAAAAAAAUGUUUGGAGGGACAUCUCUUCAAAUCUAGUUUUUUUGACGCAUACAUUUCUCAGGGUAAAUAUCGGUACCUCUUCUACUCUAUCUUCCAUAAACUAGCUACUUGCCUGUAAAUUCUAACAGGUCAGGCAUAUAUAAUGUAUGUUUGGCAGAGCUCCAACUUUUAAAUUUAGCUUCGGGAGACCAGCUCCACUUUCAUUUUGUGAAAGUGCUCCAACUAGCUCUACUCCCAUUUUAGGUAGAGUUGAAACUGUUUUACUGUGAGCUGGAGCUGUGCCGAACAGACCCAUAACCAGAGAGAAAAAGUUGUUACUUUUCAUGUACGGACGCUUAAGCACCUUGAGAUAGUAGAGAAUGACUUUGUUUUCAAGAAGUAGAGGUAUAAACAUUUCUAACGUUUAAAAUUUACAAUUCACCACCAACGCCAACAAAAUGGAUGGAAUCACUUGAAAGCUCACGAGUUACGGAGAGUACUGGACCGAUCCACCUAUAAAGCGCAGUUCCUCGGCUUCAUUAACACGAUCAUUUAGAAACCUUGCUACCCGCUUUGCCGAUACACCCUGGAAAGUAGAAACAUUCUUUUCACCUCGUCAUAUACACAAGGAGAAACUCAUGUGAGCAACUCAAGCUGACAACGUGAAAACACAACAAUGAUGGUCCACUAGUGGUGCUACUGGCCAAGGUAUAUUAAAAAAAGGGUCCGCGCUCUCAUCCUACUAACAGUAUAGGAAAUAUGGAAGGAGAAAAAACAUAGAGUGUUUUAACGCAAGGGGCUCUUGGCAAUAGCUAAUAGGUUGCCAAAAUCAAGGAGACUAACAUCCUCAUCUUUUUGCUAAGGCUUAUACUUAUCAACUAAAAUUUAAAAUUUAAAUCUUAAAUUUGAAGUUGAUUUUGGGUUUUUUUAUCGAAAUUUAUUUUUCAGCCUUUGCUUUUUAGAUAGUUAAGAACACGUAUAUAAAGGUUUUAUUCACAACUUAUUUUUUAUUUGCAAAUAUGCCGUUUGGCUUAUUCACCGAAUAAGCGAAACGAUUGGACUGUAUAACCUAGGACCUAGCAUGAGCAAAACGACUUCGGAGCUUUUUUUUUUUGAAAGGUUUCGGAGCUUAUUCUUUAGCUUUGUUCUACUUUUUUUAUAGUUCUCUUUCACACGUAUACAACUCUUCUUUUUCUCUUAUUAUAUUUAAAAGUAAAUUUCAUAAAACUUGAAGUAGUUUAAUCAAUCUAUCACAAAACUACAAAUUUUUAAUAACAUGUAUCACAAAACUACAGAUUUAACAUCAUAAUUUUUUUAUAUAAAAUUACAGAUUUAAGGUAUGAUAUAAAAAAACUACAGAUUUAACGUCACUUUUAUCACAAAAACUACAACUUCUAUAACACCAAUAGUGCUAAGAUAUAAACUCUAAACUAAAUCUAUAGUUUUGUGAUAUGAUGUUUUAAAUCUAUAGUUUGUGAUAAGUUUGGUGCUAAAUCUGUAGUUUUGUGAUACAUAUCUUUAAAUAUGUAGUUCUACGACAGUUUGAUCAAAGUAUAUGUAGUUUUGUAAAAUUUACUCUAUAUUUAAUUAAUGAAAUUGUCACGAUCUAGUACGGUUCGUUCAUUUGUUUUUAUUUCUAGCAUACUACUUCCCAAUCCAACCGGCCACUGUUCAUGAUUAUCUAUAUUUACAGAUGUAUUGCUAGGCACGAUUUUUUUUAAUCAAGUAAAUUUCUAGUGAAUAUCACCUUAAGUUUAAUUUUAAACUCCUAAAAGUGUAUAUAUCCGUGGAUGGAGGAAGUAGAUGCCUUCUCCUUGAACAAAUUGGAAGUGGUCGUAUUACUGCAUUCAAAGACAUGUGUUGAAUGUUCUAAAAAAAGACAUGUGUUGAAAUGUCAUAGGGCAAUUGUUGGAUGAGUUAGAAUAUAUUUAUUUAGCUCGAGUCUGAUUUGCUGAACAUAAUAAAUUAAUAAUUAAUAGACUUCUAAGAGUGACUUUAAAAAAUAAGGACAGUUGCUCCAAACUAGCCCUAGUUAAGUCAGAAGGGAAGAUGGAUAAGAUGCAGGUAAAUGUUCAUUUUUGGUAUAUCCUUUUGGCUUGUUCUGCAGAAGAUACAAGCAAGUACAUGUCACAGUAUUAGUUGGAAAUCAACAGGCUGGCUGUUGGAUUUGCAGAUUAACUUAAAAGAGACUGUCACUUGCGAAGUUGGUAUGACUGCAAUUGCCGCUCUUCGACCCUCUAAACGGAUGAUGAGGCAAAUGAAUGAUCCCGCGAAUAUAUCCUCUAACAUAAAGAAAAAAAAAACAGAUAAAGGCC
Molecule: long non-coding RNA, 54543 nt
Filed under: Oryza sativa (Asian cultivated rice)
Lineage: Eukaryota; Viridiplantae; Streptophyta; Magnoliopsida; Poales; Poaceae
Description: long non-coding RNA (OSAT_LNC001700)
Source: RNAcentral